AUUAGCUGGAGCUCCCAGGCUGAGAAGGAGGAAGAGGAGGAGGAGCGGGAAGACCUGGACAGAGGAAGCAGUAAACAUGUAGAAUGGAAUUCCUUAGAUGCAUCUAUGAGUUAAGGAUUUUUGUUAGCUUUACUUAAGAUUCUCCUCUCCCACCUCCAAAAGAGAUCCCAACACAAACUCAUCAUUCAUAAUGGAGAAGCAUCCACUGCACACGCCUACUACUACCAGACUAGUUUUUUCAUCUCUGAAAAAAGGGAACAGAACACUAUGGUCUAGAGAGAUGUGUCACAAGCACUUCAUCCAAGAUGCAACAGCUCAUAGACUGCAAAGAAAGGCACAUACUUUGUGAAGCAACUGGCAAUUAAAUAUUUCAACUGGAUAGUCAAUUCAAGCAUUUUAACUUGAAAGACUGCCAAGAUAGAAGAAUCACUGGAACUCUCAAAUAGCGAUUUCACUAACUUUGUGAUUGAUUUAGGGUCCACGGCAUCCUUCUGUAUAUGCUAUUCUAAUUCGUAAUAUCAGUAACUGAACUUGUCAGAUGCAGCCAGAUUAUUCUCAUCAGUUAAAAAAUCCCAAAUCCAGAACAAAAAGGUCCGUUUAUUUUUUACUAAUGACUAGUCAUACCUUUUGCCUACUGCCACUUAGAAGUUUUUUCCAAAUGAUUUUGACACUUCGGUUAUGGGGAAAAUUUUCCUAAAAAACAGAUUUCUUCCUUUUACUUAUGUCUGAUAAGAGCAUACAUAUCUCAUACAUCAAAUAUAUGUCACACCCCUAUAGGUACAUCCACACACACAUGUAUCCAUACUAUAGACACAACCACACUGUUUUGCUCCCUUAGCAGAAACAAAUAGAUAUGGUAAGUUUUCUGUAUUAUCGUUUGAGUACGCUUUCUACAGAAUUCAGCAGAAGAACAAAGAUGGAUAUAUCCUUUUGCAUCUAUGUCUCUUCAGGUGAGCCCAGUUUGACAGGCCAUUUUCAGCAGAUAAAGCAUAAUAAACACAGAGAUCAGUCAAAACUUCCCUUCGGAUUUUAAGCCCCUUGGGGGGAAAGCGAGUUACUUAGUUGAGCUUGGGCUUCUGUUUUCACGUAAUCUUCUAAAGCAAGAGGCCAGUUUCCUGAAAAUAGAUCUGCAUGCAGAGACUGGCUACCAAAUUAACAUAGGGGAAAAAAAUCUCAUUGUUCGCUAGCAGGGAAACGAAAAAAAAAACCAGUUGGUAAAUUAAUAGGGGCUCAUUCAUUCUCCUUCCAGGACAUGCACAAGGAAACAGGAUGGCAGCAGCUGCUAUCUGCUGGCUCUGCUGAGUCUUUCCGUGACAUUCAACCGCGAGGAAAGAUUUUACUCAGUGAACAUUACCAUGUUUCCAUGCCUCCUUAUCCUCCAGCUCCAACAAUCAACCUGACUGUUCUGCAUUUUUUAGGCCAGGAUACUGUAGGGCUGAAUUUCUGUAACUCAGGGUAUUUCUAUUUUAAUCAUCAACAAUUUUUAGGUAUUGCAUCAUUUGAAAGGAAUGUUAUUUUUUAACAACUCUUUCUCACACAGAGAACACACUUAAAAUUGCAAAACUCUCCAUCCCCAGCAUUAAAAUCAUCACCUUUCAGGAACAUCCUUCCUAAUUGUCUCUCAGCCCACAAGCCAUGAGAAUGUUUCCAUUUCAAAAUCCAGUCUUCACUGUCGUACUUUAUAUGAUGCUUUUUGAGCAGGUUGCCCUUCUUUGGAUUUUUUUCUUCCAAAUCUGAUAGGAAAGUUGGAGCCUGAAAUGUGAAUCCAUAAACUACACCAGUAACUCUCGUGUGGCAAAAGCGGAACAGUGGAAAUACAUUGUUUUCAUUGAAGUGAAAUGCCAGUCUGUUCUUGCAUGAGCAAACUGGAUUAAGAUAACUUCCCUUGGGGCUUCAGGAUUUCACAAGGAGACUGUAUCUGACUACAAGACUUCUUUAAGAACGUAGUUUCAAAAUGUUACGGACAUCAGGCUCCAACAGUCCUGACUGGAGAAAGUAGACCAGAAUAGAGAUGCAACUGUUACUGCUGUGGAGCUGGAUCACCUAGCUGUAAGUCCUCUCUCGACUUACAUGCCUUUAGUGAAAGCUUUCCUGCAGGAAGCAGAUGAACAAGGAGCGCAAGACCCGGAGCCGCGCUUCUGAGUUGAAGUCCUGGCUAUGCUAUUUACUAGCUAUGUGAUCCUGGGCAAUCAUUUAAUUUUUCUGAGGUUGAUUAUCCUGAUCUAGAGAAUGGAGACAUAAAUUCCUAGACUGCAGUGGUUGUUAGGGUUAUACGUAAUUCAGUAUAUGGAAACAUUCUAUAAUUUUUAAAGCACUACACAAACAUUUAUUUUAUUAGAUGGAUCAGCACCCCGGAGCGCCUUUUCAGGGUGAAGUACAAAAUGAACUGAGAAGUGGACGGGAAGGUACUCUGAAAAAUAGGGACAGCUUCCAUUUUUGGAACACUCUGCGCCAGAUACUGCUGCAUGCUUUAAUAUGCAUUUUCUCAACGUUCAAAAUCACCUGACAAGGUUGGUGGUGUCAUCUCCAUUUCCCAGGUGAGGGAACAGAGAUUUAGAACGGGGACAUGACUUGCCCUUGGUCACAAAGCUUGUGGAGGGCAAGACCAGGGUGCAAAGCGGGAUUUGCCCGAAUCCAGGCCCAGGCUUUUAGCCGUGAGUCUCUGCUGGCUCAGCGCAUUAUAGAGACUGUAAUGGCUAUUCUCCACGUGGCCGGAUGGAACUUUGAAUGUAAACUGGCUCCGAUUUCAGGGUUUCACCAAUAAGCACAUGAGCAAACCAUUAAAACCAGCUUUGGUUCUGAUCAGCAGAAGCAGCACCCAACAACCCACCAAGAGGACGGCGACAACUUGGAAAUUAGUAGGAUUUGGCUAGCACUGAACGGUUGGAGACCUGGAUGCUCAGCCACACACGUGAUUUGCAGUGUGCCCUUAAGCAAGCCACAUCUCUAAAGCCUGGCUUCCCGCUAAUCUAAAGGAGGCUCACGUCAAAAGAGCAUAGUGACUAGCCCAACACUCAUUCACAUGAUUAUGACAGUGCUAAAAUAAUGUCUCUAAAAUACAGCCCAGCAGUUUAUCCUCCUAAGUUCCCCGUUUCUAAGAGGCAGUAUGGCGACAUGGUCACAUGUAGACUUCUGGAGGCAGAAUGUCAAGCUCUGCAAUUCGCUCCCUGCACAACCCUGGGUAACUUACGUUAACUCUCAGUGUCUCAGUCUCCUCAGCUGUUUAAAAUAAGGAUGAUGAUAGUACCCACCACACCUAAGGUUGCUGUGACAAUUAAAUAAAUCAGGUACAGCAAUUCGAACUAGCAAUGGCACAAUGUAAAUACUCAAUAAAUGAUAGCCACGAUGACAGAAAUAAUAAAUCAUUUUUCCCUUAGCACAUUAUAAGCAGAGAGGUGGCUAAGAGAUCUGCCACAGCUUGUAAAUGGAAAAAGCUCACAGAUCCUGCUUCCGUCCAUUUCAUCGUACAUGGAUACAUGUCAGCCCAGCUGACUGCAGAGGAAUCCGACAAAUACUAAAAUCGGAAGACGCCCUCAGAUCUACAAAUGGCAUCUCCAACUGAAUUAACUGAAAUGAGUAUCUUUAAUAUUUUUUACCUUCUUCUCCUCUUCCCAUUCUAAGACCUGAAUACGGGAUCUGUACCCUUCCUUUUAAGCAGGAGUUCACGUUAUAGACUUUUCCCAAUGCUAAGUUAGGAGUUGAGGGUUUAAGAGAAAAGGAAUAGAGAUCGAACCCUGAUGACCAUUUAAAAAAAUUUAUGGGGAAUCAUCCAGGAACAAAAUAAAACGAAACUCGCUUGAGGUUGAUUUUACGAGCACAAGCCUCUACUUACACAGGAGUGUGAGAGCAAUCUGUUGACAGAUAUUUUCCAGGCACAGAAAUCCUCAGGAGGCAACUGCUCAGAAGAUCAGCACCUGGAAUUUAAACGACAGUAUGAGCCCUUAGGAAAUCUCCCAGAGCAACAGAGGAAGUAAAAGUCAGUUGUUUUCUCUUGUUCCUCCGCCAAUGUCAUAAAGAGAUGAAUUUUUAAAAACAAGAAAUAAGGAGCACCUUCUCCUUCCUGCUGCAUAGGUUGGGAAAGUUCCUGCACAGUGAGCGGUGGACACGCUCCUCACUGGUGCGUCCACCGACACGAGGCUGUGCGUUUCGCAGAUCAUCAAGGUUUGCUCAGCAAGAGGUCUUAUGAAAUAAAACAUGGUAUAGACCUAUAGCUCCAGUCACGGAAGAAAGACAUGAAAGCAGCCCGCACAGAAGACAGGGAGAGGUUUCUAUUUUCAAAAUUGGUUUCGCAACCUCAGGCUGCAGCAGCACAGACUGCAGAGGCCAGCAGAGGGCAGCAACUGUCUGAAAGUGCAACCUUCUCUCACUGCUCUGCGGUCAAGCGGAGGAAAUACAGAACAGAAACCCCAUGAUGUUCUCUCCUGCGUGGUCUAAGUUUAAAGCUGGAGUGCACCUUUUGCCACAUUAUAGGAAAGGAGGCCCGUGUUGUAGAGGUCUUCGUUUUUGAAAACUCAUCGUUCAAGGAGUACUUCAGUCUUCCGUGCACGUGACCUGCCACAGCCACUGGGAGUGCCUUCAUAACAGCCCCAAGGAGGCUUCCUUAGAAGGGGCUCAAGUCCCAAAAGCUCACAUUUCACCCAGCAAGGGGCGGCGUGACUCAGCAGUGUGAGGAAGAAAAGUCUGUCCUGUCAGAUUACUAUCUAUUGCAAUUUCCAAGUGAACAAUUACAACCCCAUGGAGGAACAGAAACACGGCCGAGGCCAGUGGAUGGGGUGAUAUGGUCUAGACACGUGCAUCAGACAGACUGGGGAAGACAACGCACUGUGGUUCACAGGUGUGAUCUUUAAGCUGAGCGUUGGAGGACAUGUUCUUUAGCGACUAUGCUCACACACUUCAAGACGCUAUCAAAACACGGACGUAAUAUGUUCGGAAGAUUCUUGAAAGUUGGGAUUAAAAUUCAAGAAGAUCUUGACCAGGAAGAGAAAUGGCUGAGAAAAGCCAUUGUUAUAUUCAACACUGUCUUAUGACAGAAAGAUAAAUCUAAAAUAUUCAAGCUGAGAGGAAAAGGAAGGAGGAUCUAUCAGGGUAAACAUAAAAUUGAAACUGACAUGGAGCUAUUAAAUCACACGGCUUUGGAAUAUUUAAAUACUAAUUUAAAAUAAUAGCAUGUUUCCGAAAUUGUCUGAUCAUAAAAAUGACGACAGGACCCAGAGUCAGUGAGGAGCUCUUCCCCUUGUCAACGGUGACUGAGAUGGGUGUCAGCUGCAAGGAACGCCCGUCGGCUGUGUUCCGGGAGUUCUGCAGUAUUUGCAAGAGUUCAUUUAAGCUGCUGCAAAGUCUUCCUACAAUUAACUUUUUCCUGUAAAAGCGUAUGAUAAAGCCUAAUUCUGUAGCGUGCCUCUUCCAUCCUCUCUGUCACUCCUCUAAAGAACUCAGGAGCACCUUGUGACCACUGCACCUGCAGCCUCCUAAGAUCUAGGUGCAUGUGCAUUCUUGGUAGAUGGGGAAACCAGAGCACAGAAAGGUUCGGUCAAGAACACCGUAUAUGAGUUAGUGAUAAGGUUUCUUAACUAUGAGGAUAUGAGUUUGACAGCUGCAUUUUCAGCUUCCCACUAACAUCCGUGCCUCCCCUUAUGAGCACUGGCAUCUGUGCCUCCCACGGUAGCUCUUGGUGGCUCUAAUCUAAACACAGGGCUGAGGCUUGUACCAAACCCAUCACCAGAGGGGAGAGCGUGGAGCAGCCCAGCCCACGAGGAUGCUUCCCUAACGGGAUUCCUGUGUUUUCUCAGGAGGAGUCAAGGGUCAACUUACACCUUCAACAGGGCAGCCCUGUGUCACAGAGGGCCCCCCAAAGGAUCUUCCUAGGUGCUCAACCGUCAUCCUCUUGAAGCUUGAGGCUCUUAGAAGCUGAUCUCUGAAUCUCUGCUUAGAACCAAAAGUACCAAUACACAUCUUGUCCUUGUCUGUGCCUUUCCACAUGAGCACCAGCUUAUCUGAGUUAACGUGCUUAGACACUGCCUAUUCAACGUUGAGCGCCAUUAAGGGAACUCCCAUUUAAUGGCACAUUUAAGCGGGGAACAGAGAGACAAGCAGCAUAAGCUUUGGGAUCAGAAAGACCUGGUUUCAAAUUUUCCCUCUGUCACUUGUUAGCCUGGGACAAGCUAUUUAACCCUUUUUGAGCUUUAUUUUUUUCAACUGUAAAGUGGAAAUGAUAAUGUUAAUUCUCAGACUUGUGAAAAUAUAACUAACUCAAGUAAAAUCCAUGGUCCAGAGAUUUUUCAAUAAAUAUUAACCUCCCCCCUGAAAAAGAACCAUCACCACAUUCCCCUGUGAGGGGACAGCACAUUUAACAUUUUGGAUAAAUUUUCCAGAAGGUAUAUACAAUCAAUAUGUUAAAAUUGGUGUGAAAGACUAAAAUACCAUCGAGCAUCAGUACACAGAGACUGGGUCUGAGGCUCUCUGACGGAAAAAGGGUAGGUCAUGGGACGUCAAAACAAGGAGUCGCGAGUCUGUGAAAGGACAGAUACGAUCCGCAACAGGGAUGAGGAUGUUCCAGCAUUUCCAUCUAUCUGGUCUCAGAACCACUGAUUCACUGAGUUUACCAUGUCCCAGGUGCCGUAUGAGGCUCAGAGGACAUGAGGCAGAUGAGGCUCCUAGAAGAGUCCAGUGUAGGCACAUGGGGGGGUGCACAUAGGGACGGUCACGUCUGUCAGGGAGGGAUUAACCAACAACAAUGCUGCAGAACCACAAGUCACUUCUCAACACGACGGGUAAAGACAGAUCUGUUAGAAUCCAUCGCUAGGCGUUCACUGAUUGCCUCCUAAGAGCCCCGCGCUGAACUGGAAAAGUGCCUAAACAGAUGACAUGGAUACACUUGCACGUGACCUUGGAACCUAAUGUGGAAUGAAGUUGAGUAUAUAGGGACGAGUAAGGCUUAAGUGUGCCAUGCUGACAGAGAGGGACAACAGUCAUUCAGGAUUCGAUGAGCUUGGGGCAGGCUGACUAGGGGGCGGGGGGGGGGGGUGUCUGCAGAGGAAAGGGGCCUGAGCCGGGCUCCACAGGGGUGGUCUGGGCAGGUGGAAAAAGGGGAGGGUGUCAGGGAGGGGAGGUAACAUCAUGUGAACUGUAGCAGGAGGUGAAGCUCAAUGGGAAUGGGGAAAGCCACCGCAUUCGGCAAACAAGACCUUUGGGAAGUGAGACUGCGAUGGCUGUGCGAUAACACAGGAUGCAGAAGGUAAGAGCGAGCGAGUGAGCUCAUGAAGGCAUUUCUUCCUGCACACGUGCACACACACACACACACACAAUGGGAAGGUUAACUGAGAUCAGGGAUGGCAGGAGACGACAAAAAACAAAAUUUAUGAAGCGCAGAAGAAACAGAUGUUGAAUAUCUAGCAUGUGGGAAGCACUGUGCUGGAGACGCAACGUGGACCCACACGGGCACCAGUCCUCAUGGAGUCUGCAAGCCGGCAGGGGGUGCAGACAAAUAAAUGGCAGUUAUUACGACAAUGGGAUAGGUAUUAGGAUGGGGAAACUUCAGGGGCCAUGGUCCCAUAGGUGAGGCACCAAGCUUUGGGCUCAGGAUAAGCUUUCCCAAGGGCCUCCUAGUCUCCAUCUCCAGAGGUAUGGGCAGGAAGAAAUGGGGGUGGUCAGCUCCUUCUGGGUUUCCCAGACAGGCUGGGAGCCCCUUCUCAGGACGCCUGAAUAUUCGAAUAGGGUAUACAUGUACCCAUGUGUCUGGAAUGCAGUUCUGGCUGGAGACGGAGAGAACAGAUGAAAUGAUGCCCAUAAAAUGCCCUCCAGCUCAGCACGAGUCCUAUUCGCAGACCCCAACUCCUUUAGAGGACCAAAGGGGAUGACCAUGUCCCGGGACACUGAAUUGCACUCACACUGGAGGUGAAACACAGGCGUGACUUUCACACACGCAGCUAAGACAUUCUCAUAUGACUGCCAGCGCUCAGGGAAGUUAGCAUGACUGACAGCGGACAGCAGGGGAGGCGGGGGUUCUCAAACCCGCUCCCCCAGUCCCCUCACCUCACACAGGAAGGCUAUCAAGAUGGCACCCACUCCAAGAAAGGGGCAGUGAGGGCGGGCGAGGGGCUUUCUGCUCCAACACGAAUAGAAAAACCCUAAGAAGGAAACAGCAUGUGCUGCUUUCUAUUCCAUUUUUCCAGCUGACUGUGUCAUUUUCUGUUAGGAAAAUUUUACCCACGGCUUAAAUCUGAAACAUUUGCUAGAUUAUAAUUUUUCAAGUACACACAAAUAUAACGACACAAGAAUUUAAAAUAAUCCAAGGGAGAUUCAAAUCCACACCCCCGCUCUCCUCCCCCCAACACUUCCCUGGUUCGCUCAGGCAGAGCCAACGCUGCGCUGGCUUCCGUGUAGCAGGUGAGGACGGCUCCACUUGCCUGGAAGAUGACCCCAGGAAAGGCCAUCAGGGCCACGUGGCACCUGGAGACAGCCAAAAGCUUCUCCUUCCUGCUCUUCUUAAAAUAAACUGUCUACCUUAAAAAUGAAGACAGCAUGGGUGAUGGGGGGAAAAAAAGACACUGUUACUUAUCUCCAAUAUCACGCUGGAAGCUAAACACAAGAUAAUUUUUCCUCGGCAUUGUUUCCACGGGCUGGGAAGAGGGAAAAAAAUAGCACUUGUUGUUACUAGGACUAAGGAACCGUUCUUCCUAUGAAAAGAUCCUGUUGGAGAUGCUUAACUUGAUACUCAUGACAUAUUUAGUUUACAUUCUUUCGGGGGAACACGUUUGUAAUAAUUGUGUAAUUAAUAUAAGGACGCGAUAAGUGACAGUUGCUUAAGUGCCACCCGGAAGGAAGAGGGCACAAUUUGCUACGGGGGGGGGGGAGGGCUUGGGGGGCGGGUCUCGGCAGGAAUCUGGUGCAAAUCCCCUUUCUUCGAAUGGCUUUUCCUCCUGGGAUAAAUCGCUUCAUCUCUUAAUUCAGGUUGUCGUCCUUAAACAAAUGAAGGCCACACGGUCGUCCCCGGGGUUUGGGAGCCGCUGGGAGAGGGCCAGCGCAGUGGGUGCAGCGACCUGUGGUGCGUGUCCUUUCCUGGAGAUGCUGUCUCUGGCGCUGGUGGACGUGCAGUUCAGCGCCGAGUCCAGAGGAGGACCGGGUUCUGACCGCGUCGGGUGCGCCCAGCAGGGGUCAGUGGUUCACGCCCUGGCUUACGGGGAAAUGAGUCCUUUCCUGUGGGCUCCGUGAUGCCCUCAGGUCCUCAGCCAGGCAGGAAGAGGCUGAGCCAGCAGCUCCUGCUGAGCCCUCCUCCACGAGGACCAGCUUCUCUACCCUGUUCUUUCUGCCACUUCUCCCGGUGACUCUAUUACCAAGAGGCACUUUCAAGCUUCUAGAGCAUCUUCUCAGUAUUACAUUUACUCAGUGCCCAAAAGAGUACAACAUGUUCUUAGAACAUUGCUCAAUUCUGUCUCCUGUGGGAAGAAUUCAAAGUUUGUUUUAUUAAGAACUAGCGUGGCACAGUUAAUUUUCAUCCAAAAAAAAGAAAAAGAAGAGUGAGCGAGCGAAGGGUAUAUCAAGUCUCUUACUUUGGCGUAUGGAUAGAAAUGUUAUUAUGCUUCCUUCUGCCUGGGAGCUAAUAAAUUCAAAAUACUGACAAAGAAGAUUUUGAAAAAGCUGCCCGUGACAAAUAAACAACCGAUUUGUUUCAUUUUGUAAAAAUGAAGUUCUCCUUUCCGACCUAAGCAAUUUUCUGAACAUUCCUCAAAGGGCAUUGGCCUCUCCCAGCUGGGAGGCCAAGGACAGGCGGGAGCCUCCUCCCGAGGCUGGGACCAGGGCCCGUGUGGUUGGAGGAAGGCGGCCCGGCCCAGACUGGCCUCGCCCUCCCGUUGGGUGACCUCUGGCGGACCAAACCCCCUGGUCCAGCUCUUCAUCUCUGAAACAAGCACGCUGUAUUGACAGUUUUCCUGUUGCUCUAAAAUAAGACGAUUCUAAAAUUCGACAUUAAGUGUAAGGUCAGUUUCUGCUUUGGACCUCACCUAAGGGGUUUUAGUCAUAAGCCCAUGUGUGGAAAGUGGCCCUGCCAAAAGAGAAACAUUCUGAAUCAUUCAAAACCAUUAAGAAUGUUGGCUCUGACUUCAGAAGGGCAGGAUAAACAAACCCGUGCCCGGGCGGGAUCUCACUUACUGGAUGUCUCUGCCUUUUUAACUCAUCAGCGCCUGAGCCUCCCCAAGCAUCUUCCCAUGGCUCCCAUCGUUAACGCCGUCACAGUGGCACUAUUAACGCAGUUUUCUUAAAGGCUGGGCAUAUUUAAUUUGGUGCCGAGUCCUCAUUAAUCUUCUUGUAUGGUCACCAGGAUUGGCUUUUUUGCAACUUCUAUUCAAAGCAGGUUCGUUCUCCCACCCAACACAGGUCAAGAAAUAAGGAACAAAGCUUCCCUCUUUUUAAAAAAACCCUCUUUCCCCAAACCCCAUUCCCAAAUCCAGUGAGUCUACAGAUUCUUUUGACUGGAAUGGAUCCUAGAAUCAACUGACCUCUAACUUCCCAGUGUGUUUCGAUUCCGCCUUUGCUGAUCUGAAAUCACAGAGGCUGUAGGAAUUAGGAUAUGGGUGCUGCUUUCUAGCAGAAUCUGCCUCAACUCCUCUGCCUUAGAAAAAUUAGGAAGCCUUUUGACCGUCUAUAUUUUUGUGUGGCUCAUUUUUUUACGCAUAUGCAAAGUAAACAGGAAAAUAAAGGAGAAAACUCAACUUCCGGGUCACAGCAUAUCUGCCAGCUAAGCAGUGGAGUUCCAUGGACUGGCUCAACGCGUCUCAUCUGGGCCCCACGGUGGUCAGAGAGCACGUGCACGUACCCAGAGCUCAGGAAAAUCUGCUCAAGAGAACAGGCUUCCAUCUGUAGGGACCCUUCAGCUGUACAGAGCUUACUGGGCACAGGAUGUAUAAAGCAAAAAAGAUUAAAUUUCUUUUUAAGUCAAAAAACUCCAUACUCAAAAAGCAACAGACAUGACCCCUUUUUUCCAACUUCGAAAGCUCACAGUGGCGACAGCAGAGUUAACCACGUACAGCAUUGCAUUCAGGCGACUGAGUGAGUAAUUGUCACCAGACUUUUUUUACAGCCUUAUAGGAACUGAGCAAGCUGGUAGUAUUUCCUAAGAGCUAUUGUUCAGUUGUGAAAAUGGAGAGAGCUUUUUGUUUUGUCUUUUGGAAAAUCCUGAUCAGCUGAAAUGAUGACUAGGUGGUCAGACUUGCACUUCUUUUGCUAUGUGAUAAAGGCUUAUUUUGCCAGGCAAAGGAGCGAUAUUAUGGUUAACUUGUUUUUUCGGACUGAGGUCAUCUCUAUUCAUUGGUGUAGUAAACAAGCCAGACCUUUUUUUCUAAAACCCUCUUUCAGAAGCAACACUACAUUUUUAUCUUCUCUGGGAAUGAAAUAAAAGCAUCAUAAUUUUUAAAAACAACCUCCCUCAGAGUAUUUAUGAAUAAUAAAACACUUAAAAAAAAAACCCUAAACCUCAUUUGCACAUUUCCUAGAACAUUGACAGCUUAGAUAUCUCUCCACAUCAUUUUAUUUCUUAGGCUCUCUGAAUUCAUAAGGUCAUACAGAAUCGUAAACCAUCAUUUUAAAAUCUUCUUCGUCCCAUUUUUUAAAGAUAAGUGUAAAGGGAUGAUUUUCAUGUGUUUAGAUAAAACAAUCAUGGCCAUAACUAUAAUUGUGAGGAAAAACUCUGUGCUUGCCAAAGACACCAGCUAGAGACUGCCAUUAGGAUAACUUCCUUUAGGUUCUUCAAUUAGCUUUAUUUCACUUUCUCAUCAGCUCGAUGCAUAAAAGAAUCCAUUUUCCUUUGCUCUGGCUGUUGCACUGAGAGGCCUCACAGAGCCGGGGUGAGGUGGAGAGUUCCCCAGUUUGCCUGAGCCGGCCUCACCAGGGCACAGUUCCCAGGGCGGUGACUCAGCUCUGAGGCCACCUGCUGCGUGGGUGCUGCCACCUUCCGGGUCAUUACCAGUCACGAGGGGAGAGGGAUGGGACAGAGCUGAAUGGGCCCAAAGGACCAACAGCUCAGAGCCAGGUCAAGGGCAGCGCCAGAAGGAAAGCCUUUAUUUACAAAAGAUCCAGCCCUUAAAGGUGAGGCAUUUGAUAGGAGGGGGCUUCACAUCUGGGGUCACCAGAGGAGCCUCAAAGCCGGGAUGGAAGAUGAAGGCAGGGCCACAAGGCAGCUCCCACUUUCAACACCACUUUGAGCAAGUCACUAGCUUUCAAAAAUAAUGACACUCACCGCCUGCAAGAACCCACGUGCCUUUGAGGCCUUCCCACCACUUAAAUCCAACCCACCCUCAGGGCCUUCUCUCUACCUCCUUUCAAUAAACCCUCUGCUCCAACUAGCAGGCCGCCUCCACCCCGGCUCCAGGGCUCCCUGCCUCCGGGCCGUGUGGACAGAGCGGUGGAGUUGCCAGCAGUCGCACACACUGAGCUCCUCCACCUCGGGUAUUUUUGUUCUUUGCCCGUUUUCAACGUGCGAAACCUUGAAUGUUCAGCUUAGUAUUUCCCACCUGCUCCGCGGAGCCUCCCUGGACUGCUCCGGCACGUCACCCUCCUCUGCACUCACAGCAUCUACGUCUCAACAAAUCAAUGGAUGUGUACUGAGUCCCUGUAAUACGUUCAGUUCUUUCAAUCAACGACACUUAAGGGACAGGUACUCCAUGUCACAUACUGUGUCAGGUGCUGGCAGUGAAGAGCAGAAAGACACGGUCCCUGUGGCAGAGGCGCACGUCCCCCAGAGGCGGCGGCACCUGUGAGGAGUGAGGAGGGAGUGGCGGCUCUGAAAUGUCAGACACGGCUUUCUGGAGGACUCUAGGCUGAAUUCUAAAGGAAGAGCAGAGUUUGAAAGGAAGACUAGGUUAGACAAAGAAGGGAGAUGGGCAGGAAAGAAUGUUUCUGGGGACAUUGUACCAAAUAAAAAACACGGGGCCUUCUCUUCAGCAUCUCUGCAGCUUGGGGUUCGAGGGUAGGGGCAUAGGAGGCUGGGGAGGUGGACCAGGGCUUUGCAAGACUGGUGAGUACCUACGACUUGUGAAGUGUAACAAGAGUUCUGUGCAUGAGAGAGAGGCAGACUGCAAGGCAGCCUGCAAGGGGACUUUCACAGGCCUUAUAGGGUUUUAUAGGGUAGAGGUUCUUUCACACACGUUAUCUUGUUUAACCAACACCACAGUCCUGAGCCAUUUAUUUGGAAUCAAUCACAUGCCGCCUUGUGACACGUUCGUUUCUGCCAUUCACGCCGCGUGCAUUUUCUCGUCUGCUCCUCAGCUGACUGUCAGCUCCCGGCCGGCACAGGCCGCCACCUGCCUCUCUGAUGGUUCAGUGACCAGCACAGCGCCUUAUACCCACAGAUGUUCAGUAACACACGUCUUAGCUGAAAUGUUAGGAUGCGCUUUUCCACACUGCCUGUCAAAUAAGUAAUGAAAUCCACCAGCAAAUACUUUUGGAGUCCUAGAACACGGAUGGUACUCACGGCACCUGUAAGUGGUGUGAAAUAGAGGCGGGUUGGGGUCAAGCUGUGGAAGUCCUGGACGGCCAGGCUAAAGAAGGUGGGGGGCCCUUCUACUGAAGAGUUUUGAGUAAGGAAGUGAUCGACACAUGCUUGAAAAAGAUUAAUUCGGCAGUAGGAUGGGCUGACUGGAGACAGGGAACAGCACAAAGGCGAGGGGAGUAAGUGUUGUUAUUGGGGUGAUAGAGUUGCCCAGUGUCUGUACUGACAUGCAGCAUCUUUACUCAAGGGCCCUGGAGCUUAACCGGGCUCUUGCCUGAGCUCCAUCACCCCUAGGAGGAACACUUGGUGAUGUGGGUCUUUGCUGCUUUUAUUCUCCGUCCCUUUAUUCCUCUGAAAAAUUAGUGAGCAACAGUUCUAUGCCAGACGCUGUGAUGCAGAGAUACAGGCCUCCACUCUCCAGUAGCUUCUGUCUUGUCGGAGAGGAUGGAAAAUGUCUGGUUAUAAUGCGGCGUGUCAAGUUCCCUCCUAUUUCCUCCCUCCUUCCCUCCCCUGUUAUACUGCAUUAUCUAAUAUAAUGCAGAGGGUUUCCCGGAGGAGGCCAUACCUGAGAUGAAUCUUAGGGAGGAGCAGGUGUUGGCAGGUAGACAGACGAGGGAGAGAGAAGGGCAUGUGCAGAGAUGCCAUCCCAGGCAGAGGAGCUGAGCUUGGAGUCUUCUGAGAGAUGGGCUGGAACAGGGAAAAGGAGGACACAUUGAAGGGCUGUAAGUCAGGGAAAGACGAUCAGAUCCACGUUUUAGAAAGAUCAGCCUGGAGGCUCAGAAGAAAAGCUUACUGGAACGUAGUGACUCUGGAGUCGAAAUGGAGCAAAGAGCAGAUUAGACGGAUGCCAGAGCAGAGUGGUUAAGCCCUUAAGCCCUGGAGAUGGAAUGAUACGUGCAGUGAGAGUGGGACUGAGAAAACUCAUGGUAGAAGAUCUUUAAAAUCAACAUAUUUCACAAAGAGGAUCCAGCAACAGGUCACACAUGCACUGUCAGGUGCUGGCCGCAAGGGGGCAGCCUCAGACAGCCGUUCUAGCGGCCAGCCCCUGGUGGGGAGGGGAGAGCAUUGCCAGGUUUGUUUGCAGAAAACUAGGAAGGCUUCGUUUUGACCACCAGAAGUGGCUGGCCUUUCCUAGCUUUUUGGACUAACAAUUUUGAGUGAUAAAGAACAGUGGCCAUUCUCACAGUCUGGUUCACUGCGAAGUUGAUUUCAGACUUCAUUAUCUAUUCCGGGUGGUUCUCUCUCUACCCAGGGAUCUGACAGAGUUUCAGGUCUGUGACUUGCUAGAUAAUCAGCAGAACUUCCCCGGCCCUCACCCUGGCUUUCUGUUCCUGGAGUGCUCACCUGCUGGCCCCCGUCAGCUUUGCAGAUGCCCCUCAUGAGUCCCCAGGUCUCUAGCAGGGAGGUGCCACUCUGAUGCCCAGAGGCGGCCUUUAAAGAUGUUAUUCUCAGUGGAAGACUGGAUGGAACCACCCAAACCUAAGAGGACAAGGUUCUCCACCACGUGGGGCCAAACCACGAAGUAAAUUCUGAAAAGGAGCCACGAGCUCUCUGAGCUGGCCCCAAAACAUAUCUUUCUCCCACUGAAAACCUCUGCAGAAGCCCUGACGUGUCAGCUGUUUCGGGGGAGCAGCAUGAAAACCAGAGCGCCUAGCUUCACCAGGCUAUUUUAGGGGUAGCCAGCUGAGCCCUCAGAGAAGUGCACCGAGGGUUUGAAACGACGUAGGCUGAGAAUGGAAAGUUUCAGUGAGAGAGUUUCCAUCAAGGAGAACCAGCUAGUAAAGAGCUCAGCCCCGACGACUGAGUCUGACGAUGACCCUCCAAAGUGGAGGAAAACUGGUGAAUGCUGCCGGGCACUGCGGCAAGCCUGUGGGGGCACUGUCUCCGGGUCAGCUACAUUGCCUACCGGAGGCCCCUUGUCUCCACUGCACGGGUCAUCUGGGGGAGAUGCUGGAGCACGGGUUCCAGGUGGGGCCAAGGGUGGUGGCUUUUUCUGGUGAGGUAAGGACCACUGUGUAAGCAUCAGGAGAAGGAGGUGGCAACCUGACCCCACUCUGGUCGGAAGGGCCUUGAGAGCCCACCCUGCCGUGGUGGCUUCCUCGAUCCGUCUAUUCCCUCUGACUGGCUCUCUCGUGAACACGUCGGCCAUUUACCAUUUGCCACUUGGAGGCAAAGCAGCCUGGAGAGGGGGAGAAAGAGCCCAGCCUCUCACCUGGAAGGUAGUGCCUGUGAUUCAUUGUAGGAAAGGCAAACCAUCUUGCAGGCACUUCACACACAUUAACCCAUUCAGGCCUCACAUCAGCCCUCUGAGCUGGGUACUUCACCAUUCUCAUUUUACGGAUGAGGAAACUGAGGCAUGGGGACAUGGGAUGGAUGUGGCGGGGAGGGGGCGUUGGAGGAAAGAGACAAGAACCCAGCCGGCUUCCUGAUCCCACCCCAAUGCUUCUUCCCAACACCGACUGCUUUCUCCUGUGCUCUUCUUGGCACCGCCUGCUCAGAUGGCCAGGAGGAGAGGUCGGCCCUCGGUUGAAGCAAUGACCAGCCAAGCAGAAGUUCAGCACAGAGGGGUAAACACCCUUGUAUGGAAACUGACUGACAUAUUUCUUAUCAUAUACAAAAGCCCUAUAGUCUGCACAAGUGGUUCUAACAGCCAGUCUGUCCCUGACAGGAUCCCUUCCUUUCAUCACGUCUCUGAAUUUGCACUCCAUUGACAACCUCACUGAAGUUUUCGGUUGAUUUAACAUUGCUAGUGGUUUAAAUUGGAGCUCCCAAAAUUAUAAGAACCUAACUGUAGGGUCACGUGGUCCUCGAGGUCCGAACUUCAACGCACGCUUGAAUCCCCUCAACAUAGGAGAAGAGAAAAAGAGUCUAUGUCCUCAAGCCCCAACUGCCCAGGAAAACUGCACCAAGGGAGGGCCUGGUCCCUGGACCACGGUGGGACACACGAGCCCCCUUGAGCCCCCUCGGAGGCCCUCCACAGUGACGUCAAAUAUUUGGGCUGAACUGUGUGGGUUUCAAAGCUACACCAUCAAAUCUGGUGGGUAACUCACCAGUCGUGACAAAUGUUCUAAAGUGCCACAUAGAAGCCAAUGUUCUACACACCGAGUCAGGGCAAAGGCUCUGACUCCUGACCCUCCUUGCUGGAAUUGCUGGGUGGGGGAGAAACCAAUGCUUCCAAGCAGCUCUGACAGGCUAAAAAUAUCUCUCACUUCUCCUUUUAUCUGUCUGGUCACUGUCCCAGACGCAAGCUCAGCACGGCCUGGUCCACAGACCUGUGAAAUCGCUGUCUACCUCCACGUUGUAACUGGAUGAAGAGACAACAUUCUCAUUUUCUUCUCCCUCGCAGACCUGAGUACAAGGUUACAGACUGGGAUAGAACAACAUUCUAUUCAAAAACAACUGUUGAAGGUAACUGUUUCAGACUAACAUCUCAGGAAAACUUUAAGAGGAGAGUCCUCUAAAAAAAAAUUGCUCGCUUUAACUACAGACUGGUGAUAACUCACCCCGGAGAUCCAGCUAAACGUUGGCGCAGAAAUUUCUAAUGAUCCUCAAGCAAAUAAGAGCUUCUAAAGGGAAACUUCUGCAUAAUAUGCCGAGUGGACAAGCUGCCCUGACCUCCUCCUGCAGCUUCAAAGAUAUGCUCCUCUAUUGCAUAACACACGGCCUGGAAAAAUUCCGCCUUUCCGGCCAGCAGCUUCUCCGCGUCCACCUGUCCAUACAGGUAGUAAGAGAUUAGAAGGAUCAGAGCCGCAGUGUUUACACAACACUUUUUAGCACGCUCUUCCUUCUAGCCCCCACCCAACCCAAGUUCAAAGUUCAUUUCUUCUAAAAUGAAGGGAGAGGUAGUUAAAAGAGCACACAGACAGGCAGACCUGCUUGCCACCAGGCCGCCUGAAUGUCGCAGGCAGAACAGAGACCUGGGCAUGCGGGCACUGCAGCAGGAGAGGGGGCUCGGGGCUCGGACGACAGCACUGGCCUGAGGCCACCUUGCCAUUCGCUCAGCAUUCCCAAACCUGAGGUUCCACAUGAGAAAGAGAGCCCGAUGACAGCCCCCGGGGACACAGUUCCAUUUAAUCCAGUGGACAAACUUCCCCAGAACUUCCGGCAGCCAGUGACGUGGGUUUCACUUUCCAGAAUUAACCAGGCUUUCCGUUUUGAAUGCUACCACCUUGCUGCAUUCACCUCCAGCUCUUCAGCUCGCAAGCCUUGCCUGUGAGACCCACAGCAGGACAAGCCAGAUCAUCUGCUGUAAAACCAGUUCCAUUUAAAGUCAUCGUAGAGUCCCUGGGGCAGAUUUUCAUGCUUUUCGGCACCUGAGAUGACUUCUGGUUUCAAGUCCACUAAAAUCUGCUUUCAUUGUAUAUCCUUGUUUAUUUCCCUCAACAAGUGACGAUAACAGGAAGAGGGAAGAGGCAGGCAGCCUCUGAGGGAUGAGUCACCUAAGAGCCUGGCGUGCCCUGGGCUGAGAUACCUCAUGGGUUAUCAGGAACUUCCGUGAGACUCCGGAAACGGAAGCCAUCCAGAGCAGAGACAGACCACACUGAAGGGGCCACACCCCUCCCACCCUCACCCCGGGCCACCCCUGCCUUCUUCUGGACCCUCAAAGGCCAACCUCAUUCCCCCUGCAGAGCCUUUACACGAGCUAUUCUCUCCAUGUGGAACCCUCACCCCAGCUCCUCCGCCGACACCUUUCCUCUCAAGCUUAGACAUCACCUCUCAGAGAACCACUGAAAGGAGGCCCUGUUCCUCUUUGAGCACUUUCCCCUCAUGCAUGUAACCUGAGUUUUACUGGACUGCUUUUCUGUGCAUUUACUCAGGUUCCAUGAUGACAGAGAUCAUGCCUGUUUUUUCCAUCACUACCAUCAUCAUCAUCUCAGUGCUAAUCAGUGCUUAGCACACAGUAGGUGCUCAAGAAAUUUUUGUUGAACGAAUCAAGGAACAACGAUAUUAGCCAACCCUGACCUCCCUGAGCCGCUCUGACCUCCAAAUGUCCUGUAGAAGGUACCUCUCACCGCAUCUCCAUCUCUUUCUGACCUUGCCCCCCACCUAAUAGAACGAUAAUAAAGGCUAGUUUAUCUUCUUACUGCAAAUAACCAGGGAUAAAAGGAGACGUUUGUAACUCCAAGCCAUCGCUGAGCGGAUUUAUGAACUUGGUCUAAUGUUCUACUGUGGUGGCAAAAUUAAUUUCUCUACAACACUGCCAGGAGUACCUAAAGCAGAGCAGGGCUGAGUAUUAAAUUCUGUAAUUUUUAAAGUUUAGGAAAUGCUACCCCAAAUCUCUCUCCCCCUCCUCUGAUUAUGCUGGAUUCCCUGGGCUACCUGUUCGUGGAAACAGCCCAGGCUCUGCACUCCAGGUGGGUCAUUCAUUCUAGCUCUGUGUGUCCAAAGACGCUGCCAGUCCCCUUGCCUCCAGCCUGCUCCCCUGCAGGUCUGUGGACCACACCCCCAUCUGUUAUUAAGAUCUGCUCAGCUAUGUAACUGCACAGCCCAUCCCAGCCAGCCACCUCUCUCCAACCUCUUCCUUGCCAGCCAGACCAGCCCUCCGCACACGUCCUCUGCUCACUUUCUCAGUGCCUGCACACACACACCUCCCGCUCGGCUCAUUUCUCACUCCCUCACAUACUAUGAUCCUACUUAUUCGAUUUGCUCAAGGACUUUACCUGAACCCCCCAGUUCUCCACUGUUCCAAAAGCUCUACCCCCAGGAAAAGAAGGACGGCAGGCAGCCUGCUCUGAAUACAGAAGAUUCACUGUCAGCACCUUGAAACUUGGAUAGGAUUCAUCACACGUCAGUGUAAAGCUUUCACUGAAAAUCCGUGGGGGGUGGAGGAGGAUGCUAAGGAGGAAAGGAAGAGAAAUGAAAAUCGGCCGAUUCACCCUGUGGAUCUAGUUGGUUAGGACAAGAAUGACGCACUGCUUUUGCUCCAUCCUCUAAUACCUGUUUUUACAGACCGGCCUUGGAAUGGUCACAUGGCAUGUUAGAGCACAGAUCUGGGGUCAGGAGACAAGCUCAAAUGCUGGCUUUCCCACUGACUAACCAUGUAUACGCACUGGGGCGAGCUGAUGUUUCCAGGCCGGUACAAUGGGAUCAAGACCUCGAUUUCCCAGAAUUGCUGUGACAUGAUGUAUAUGAAAGCACCUUAUAAAAUGUAAUGCUAGACAUUUUACAUACUGGUUUCCAUUGUCACCAAGUAUGUCAUUUCUACCCUCACUCAUUCAAACAUUUGUUGAGUGUCUGCCACGUGUCAGGCACUGUCUUGUGCGUCAGAGUGUUUAUCCAAAUGUAAACACUGCCAAUCCUGGCUAUUAUGGGGCCAAUGUGCAUCAGGGAAGAUAGACAAGAAAUAAGAAAUUAGAACCUUGUAUGAUGUGUGCACAAAGGGGUAAGGAGAGUGUGCUGUGGAAGCACACAAGGGCACCUGACCUGGUCCUGAGCAAUCACGGAAGACUGUCUGGGGCAGGUUUCAUCUGAAGGGAACAGUAGUGGUUGGCUAGAAAGAGAGGGAAGGAAAGAGCUUCCAUGCAGAGGGCAAGCACAACCAGCUUCAUCUGGCUGGACCAGAGACUAUCGAAUAGGGGUAAGACUGCCAAGAGAUGACACUGGCCGAGGAGCCUUUGUGCCCUAUCAAUGGAAAACCAGCAUCCCCGACUGAGGCAGAUGGAGUCAGCCAAGCAACACAUCACAAAACACCAGAUUUCUGGGUCCUGACAGCACACUUAAAUUAUGGGCCUGAACUUACCGCAAGACACGGCGUUAAUGAACUUCUACUCAUUUCCAGUAACAAAAGAAAGGGGAUUCCAACAUGGGCCACACCAAGCUGUUUUUUUAGUAGUUGGGAUAGUUGCUUUGCUAAUGACCUUUUUUGGACAUACACUUCUUAGAACCACCAGCACGGCUGCUGGAGUCACGGGGGCGGGUUGUGGUAACAUGCACCAUUAAUAACAUGCUGUCACCAGGUGACCAGAACAAGGUAUGGCAUGAAAAUGCCCAGCUGUGGGGGAUGCAUCCAUCUUUCUCUAAACAUUAAAACCACUGCAAGACAGAACUGACUGGAUGAAAUUGAGGGGCCCCAAAGGAUAAAAAUACCUCCAAAAUAUGAGUCACUUAUGAAAACUGAAUAGGAUACAAAUGAAAAGCUUGCGCUUAGGAGCCAAAUUUGAUUUGAAUCCUGGCUCCUCCACUUUCUAGUUCUGUCAUCUUGGGGGAAAUGGUUUACCUUCUCUGAACCUUAGUUUUCUAUCUGUAAAAUGGGUAUUAUAACAGUAGCUGCCGCUUAGUAUUGUUUACUACAACAGAUGACCAAUUAAAGUCGUUGGCACAGCGCCUGGCACACGGCGCUCAGCUAACAGUGUGAGCUCCUGCUGCUGUUGUCAUUGUUACUAAUCGCUUGCACCUGUGUUAGAUCAGGUCUGCCCUCACCUUCGUUUACACGAAUGAAAAAUUAGAGACUUGAACACAGAAAUGAACGACCUCUGUUAACCCUGACCCCAGGACUCUGAGGCCACGGGAAACAACAACCACGGUGACCUGGAGUCCUGGGUUAGUCACUAUUGGUACACACGAGGUCACAGCUAACUGACACUUUAUCUUCACGGUGGUGAUACUCCAGUUUCAUAUGAGAGGACUCUCAGGUAAACUGGCACAUUAAAAAUGCCACACUGGAAACCAGCCCUGAUCCCUCAGAAACGCGGUUUCUGUGCCCUCUUUUUAAUCCUUGAGGGUAACACCAUGGUAUAUUUCAUCAAAGCUUUCUCUUCAAGACAUGUAUCUUAAAAGUUACGGAUGUACCUCAAAUCUCUCUUCUUUUCCUUGCUAACUUGUUAUUUACCCCCCCUGACUAGGAAUACAUCCAAACUUUAUUUUAUGCUUUAAUUUAAACUCACUUUAAAGCUCUUUAUAUUCUUGGCAUGUUAACACCUUUGGAGACACCAGGGUCUAUCCAGGUAUGACUCAGCUGAUAAAGCAGCUUUCUUAAUGUCACCCUCCUCAGGAUUCCCACUGCUAACGUUAUGGGAUCUGGUAAAUAACUUCAUACUUACUCCACAGCGUUUAUGAUCUCGCAAUCUUAUCUCCUGCAGAGCUGGCCUGGAAGCUAAAUUUUAAAACUAGCUGUGGAUUUAGAAGAUGAUUCAUAAACCCUCCGCACACCAUGGAGAUGACUGGUGGCAGGAGUGGAUUCUUACAUGAGUCUUCUCGACAUGUGAACAGGAAGGAAAAUAACAGGUUACAGUUGCGCUUUAUGACCACCCUCCCUCGCUCCUGGCUAAUUAAUGAAAGCCAUGUGAACUCAACACUGCAACAUCCGCGUUUCGGUAGAGCGGAGGGCAGCACCAGGGCUGGGAGAGGUUAACAUGAUGGAGCACCUCUCAGUCAGCUUCCCAGGGGCGUGAUGCUGUUGCAGAGGUGGACAGUGGAGUAAGAUGGGGGGACGGUGGAGAUGGGUGGCAGACUGCGUUCUCAAAGGCAGGGGAACAGGAAACAGCACAGCAGGUUUGGAAAGCAACAAGCUGACUCCUGCAGGAGCUUAAAAGUGAGAGGGGACAGUGGCAGGAGAAAAACUCUGGCUCUUUUUUUUUUUUCCUGAAAAUCAUUCACUCUAAUAGGAUGGAUGCCUCUUCUGAAUACUGAUGUCCCCAGAAUAUCAAUUUAGGUUAUGGUAAAUUUUUUUCAGUAUCACUAUCCUUGAAUUUCAAAGCAUUUGCUGGCUAGACUUCUAAAAUAUGACAGCAUUCUUCACCAAGAGCACAGAAUUUAGAACAAAGGUGACACUGGACCACAGACUGAGCCUCCCGGAGGUCGAGGUGGGAACUUGCUCACUAAGUAGCUAGUCAGCUAAUACGCUUCCUGUGAGUAAGGCUUUUCCCCCUGAAUGAUCUCAGGAAUGCCCUCUCAUUCCUUUCACAGAAGCUAACGGUUUUAAAAUUCUAGCCCUAGCUCCAGAGUCUGAGGAACUUUAUCACUGGUCACAACACCCUGGAAAGUAUUAUUCAGAGAAGCUGAAAAAUAAAUUGUCUUCCCAGAUUUGAGAAAGGGGCGGAUAUUGACCUACAUUCAAUGUUCUAGAUUAAAAUCAUAGAUCUGGUAUCAAGAAAAAAAUCUUCUAUGUAAUCUAAUGAAAUCAACUUAUUUUACAGACAGGAAAUGGAAGCUUGGAUGGGAAAAAAACAGCACAAAAAUGAAAUUAUGGGUCAUUUCUAGUGGUGACCAGAGGUGGAUCUCUUAUGGCAGGUUUUGCAUUUUCAGAUUCGGCUCACUGUGGGCCAUGCUAACAGGCAGACGCAGGAGGUCAGGUUAUGUUAAGACACAGUUGCAAACCCAUCUCUAAGCUGGGAUGCUAACAGGCCUCAAAAACUCACAGGAAUUUAGGGAGCUCAUCAUUUAGGCUGGGAAGAGGUGAUUAAGCUCCUUGAGCUAAGGUUUAUUUGACCUAUCACGCACUGUGAACCAGGGACACUCAGUGCUGAACGUCAGCAGGGCUGGUCUGGGGUGACAGGCCACCCUGGUCAAAGCAGCCUUUACGCUAAGGGCUCCCGUGGCAGAAAGUGACGGUGGCCACUCGGGAAAUCGGCCUGACUCUGGCAAAAGUCUUCUUUCAAAGCCCAGUGUGACCCAGGCAGCCCACUCGCUAGCCCUGACAGGGACCACCCACCACAGAAUUCUACAGCAUCUCGGUGCCUCCUGUGGGGACUUGCCAUUCCUUUCUUAAAUGUACUCUUCAGUUCCAGCCAAAAGGGCAAAAAGCAAGGGUCCUGUAUGGGAGGACAGACCCCUUAAGAGGGACUUAUGUUGGAAAAACAAAUUCACUGUAUGUGAAUAACAAUCAUAACCCUUAAACAUCAAACCAUAUUCAUAAAAUUUAAUGACGAAAACAUAUUUUGGAAAGCAGUUUCUCUUGGUAUGUAUUAUGAUGUUCACUAUUCUACUGUACUAAGAUAAAUUGCUAAAGGUAUCCUAGAAAUCAAACCUACAAAUUAGGUUUGAGAACGAGAGAAAAUGUCUGGUAUUCCACUUUUGAAUUCAAAUAAUGAUUCAAGAGGUUUAAAAAUUAUCACGUGAAUAGAUAGGUAAUUAAGGAAAACGUGGUAAGACCUAACUGUAGAAUUUAGCUGGUGUAGCAUAUGUGGGAGGUUUGCUGUAAAAUUCUUUUAACUUUGCUGUAUGCUUGAGAUUUUUCAUAAUAAAAUGUUGGAAGAACGUAUUAUCAUUACCUCCAACUCAAGUGCUAAUAUUCCCAGAAUUCAUGGACUCCUAUAGCUGGAUGUAAGAGUGAAAGGUCUUGAAAUAUAAAAUAAAGAAAGCACCAAAAAUUAACUGGGGAAAGAGAAAUGACUCCAUACACAAUGUUGAGGGAUUUACUGUGUAAAUCCUUCUAAUUUGGUGAGUCUAAUGUAAAAAAUGAAAUUAAAAAAAAUUAGAAGAAUAUUUUCUAGUUUCUGGGUGGGAAGGAAUUCCUAAGCCCAAGGUAAUAAAAGAAGUCAUAAAGGAAAAAAAUAGACAAAAAUCAUUUAGCCAACUAAGAAAAAAUAUAAAGUUUCUGUAUCUCAAAAAAAUCAUAAGCAAAAUUAAAAAUCAAAGAUGAGAAAAGUAUUUGCCCAAAUAUCACAAAGACACACAGAGACCUCAAAUAAAUUAUAGUCACAGUCACCUCUCAAUAGAAAAGUUGAUGGUGGACAAGAACAGAACAUUUAUAAAAGGAAAUAAUGGACUAAUAAACACAGGAAAAUGUUAAACUUUACUGGUAGCAAUUAAAAAAUGCCACCUGCCUGGCACAGUGUGGGUAUUCAUUAAAUAGCUGUUGAAUAAAUGAACCAAAAAUAAUGUAAUGUUUUUGUCUAAAGAUUUUUUUAAAAGGCAAUACUGAGUACUAAUGAAGAAAUGGUGAGACAGGCAUUUCAUACAUUGCUGCAACGUGUAUUAACUUGGCACAAGUUUUCGAGAAAACAAUUUGGCAAAGAGUACGUAUCAAUGAUGUUUAAAAAGUUUCGCUCCUUUGUCUUAAAUUCACUGCAAGAAAUCUAUCCUUGGGAAAUCAUUAAAAAUAUGUCCAAGGUUUAUAUUUAAAAGGAUAAUUAUUGUAAUGUAAAAGUAGCUUUUAAAAAAUUGAAGUAAACAGUCUGAAAUUCAAGAAUAUAAUGCACCCUUAACAGUGAUUUUUAAAUCACUUGUAAGCACAUGGAGAAAAAUGCUCAUUUAAAAAGUGGGAUACAAAAGUGCCAACACAGAACAAUCCUGAUGCUGCAAACUCGUGUGUGUGUGUGUGUGUGUGUGUGUGUGUGUGUGUGUGAAAAUACUAGAAGGAAAUAUAUUAGCAAGUAUUAACAGAGCAUUGGGUGAUGGGAUCAGAGAAAAUUUUUAUUCUUUACACUAUUCUACGUUUUAAAAGAAGUUGUAUUACAGAUUAGUUAGAAAAGUAUUAAAAAUACGCUGUUAAAAAUCUGGAAGAGUGAUCCAUUGCAUUAGAAACCCCUCUUCACAGAGGUCAAGACUACCAAUCAGGUAAUGACUUUGAAUUGCUGUCGCUCAUCAAAUUUCAAGGCCCACAUCCACACUCGCCGCCCCCACCCACUCCGUCUUGCAGUCCCGCCUGCUCAGGGUGCACUCCCACACGUCCACACGCCAACUCAUCUUCCCCUCAGACCUGUUUUUCCUCUCGGAUUUCAUUCUGCGGUGAAUGAGACGGCGUCAUAACCAAAGCCUCCAUCCUCACUUCACCUUUUCCCUUGUUUCAAUCCCACUAAGCUCCCUUGAAUCCACCGCCACUGGUGCCCUCAUCAUUUCUCCCAUGGAUGUUGAGUGCAGCUUGCUUUCCACCGGAUCCCCCUGUCUUGCCUGACCUGUCCACUCUUCUCCCUCUCCCCCUAACUCAUUCUCUUCUCUGCAGCCUGUGUGAUCUUUCUAAAGAGAACAUCCGGCCACGUUCCUCUUCCAGAUGGAAACCUUCAGGCAAGCACGGCCUAGAGCGUGAGUUACCUCUCUCAUCAAUGACUCCUCCAGCUUCAUCUUCUCUCAUCACUCCUUUCCCCACCCCCUGUCACAUCUCAUAGCUCUGAGCCUCUGCAUAGGCUGUUCCUUCUGCCUGAAGCCCUCACUAUGAUGUCUGCCCCCUCGUCUAGCUAAUUCCUUGAAGGCUGUCCUUUAAGAGUCAGUUCAGACAUUGCCUCUGUAAGGAAGCCUCACGGAUGGCGGUUAAGUGUUACAAGGUCCCACAGCAUGCUGUUUUUAUGUGACUGUAGCACUAAGCAUGCCUUGUGCAUUUGUUUUUGUAUCUCUGCCUCCUCUACCAGAUGGUGAGCACCUAGCAAAAUAGGCCCUCGGUGUUUGUUGAAUGAAUUAAUAAACGUUUCCACUAUCUAAAACGGAGUUACCUAUUCUCAUCUUGAAAGAGAUCUCAACCAAAGAUUUUGUCACUUCCAUCAGCUAGCCACUAACCUGUGUUAUUAUCUUGGCAAUCGAAAUGGUCUUACUUAUUCAUCAGCCAACAAAUUUAUUUAUUUCAUACCUUACGUUCUGACAUACCUCCUUGUUUUAUUUGAAUCUAUUGUUCCUGCCAAGUACACCAGAGAAGUGUUACUAACGUCCCUACACAGGACAGUCAUUUAAAGCUCUACACCUUACUAAAAACAGGCAGUGUGUUAGGCCCCAAGGAUAUAAGGCUAAAUCAGAUCCUUACUACUCACAGACCAUUAGCAAGAAAUCCUUUAGCCUUUUUCGGACUAAGAUCCUCAGGUACUUUAUCUUUGCUAGAACGGUGUAUAACUUCUGUUGCUUGUGUAUCAGCUCUUCACAAUUACCCAAAAUCUUUUUUCAAAUGUGACUCAAAUUGGACACAAUAAUGAGUCUGAUUUUCUUACCCUUUUAUGUCAUACUCCUUUCAGUACAGCCAAGAAUCAUGUCUAUUUUUUCCACAACAGCCUUACAGUACUGACAAAUUUAGUUGAUGGGCAAAUGGGAUGCCUUUGUACUCAACUAAACUACCUUAUAUCUAUUGCCACCAAAUUUCUUCUGCUCAUGGAGAAUCAUUUUUCCAGUUUGUUAUAUUUCUGGAGUUCAGAGGAUUUGCAGUCCUACCUAAUUUGGUAACAUACACAAUGGAAAAGAAACAAGAUUUCAUUAUAUAUGAGGAAAACUCUCCCCAAGUGUUUAACAUUGAAUCUUUAAGUGUCUACUGGAAUUCGCAAUGUACUUUACACAUACAUGUGGCUAAAUGUUUAGGGAUGCUGGGCUAUCUGUUUGGAGGUUCUGGUCAUAUUAACCAUUCCCUUUAUUUAUUUAAUAGUAGUCAAGUAUUUUCUCCACCCUUCCUCCUCCUCUCAGGCCUUGCACCCCCACCUAGCAACCACAGAGAGUGACUUCUUUUUGACUUGGGAUGUCUCCUUUUUUAAAUCACAGCGUUUACUGGGAGGUUAGAGAAUGGCAGAAUCGCGGUAGGGUCUUGCUCUAGGCCGGCGCCCUGAACCUGGUGGCCGAGGAUGGGCUUCCCUGGGGCAAUGCCCCAAAAAUGCAGGCAGAUGCUUGUGCAUGAGCCUGGUAAAAGGAUUCAUGGCUUUCAUCAGAAUCUCAAAGGGGCCUGACACCCUGAAAAGGUUAAGAACUCCAAUUGUAAGGCAUUCAGACAUGAAGCAGUAAACUGAAUAAACAGCACCAACAUGACUGACUCAAUUUCUACUCAGCCAUCUCCAGAGAGGAUGAGAAAUUCCAUAAUAAUUAUACAGCAAGCAUCUUUUACCUUAAUGAAGAAUAUAAUGUGAGGGUGUGAUUUGGGGGAUCCAGCAUACAUGAAAUUAUACGAGGCAAUAAUCUAACACUUUAAAUAUCAGUCUCUUCAAACAUCUCUGUUUCUACUUUUAUCCAAGUUCAAUAUACUUGCUUUAUCUUCUCUUGAUACCUUUAGCUUAUUGGUUUAAAACCAAAACAUCAUGAAUCCAAAGUUUCUCUGCACAUAAAUAGUAUUUUACCAGCCCCAAACAUAUCCCUUUCAUUAACUAUGAGUAAUUAUAUUUUUUUGCUAGAAUAUACUGUUAUCUUCCAUAUCUGUGUUUUAAAUAACAUUACAAAAAAAUCACUUAACAUAAAUAUGUCAAAAUCAAAACUGCCUUCAUGUCAAUAUGCUGCAAAAAUCUAUCAAAAUAUAUCUUAACUCUUAAUUUUCAUUGUUGUCUACAGGUUAUGUUAUUGUUUAUAAUUAUCACCACACCCAGAGUGUUUUCUACAGGUAAAUAUGAAAGACAGUAUAAACGUGGCCAGGAAAAAAUGCUCUUUAAAGCUUUUCCUUUGAUGAAAUGCCAUUUAGAAAUAAGAACUUGUGAAAAUCAGAAAUCGCCAUCAUGCACACUCACCACGGAACAGUCACACGAGGGUCCCCGAGCACGGGCUGGGCUUGUCCUGGAAGCAAGGGGUUCACUUCGAUUAGGAGAACAGGCAAGUAGAAACAGCAAGUGGCACAGCACGUCGCUCCAGCUCAUCUUAUUUGCAGACACAGAUUUUGGAAUCCUCCAGGACUAACAAUGAAAACCACACUACGUUGUUUUCCCAAUUCCUGUGAAAUGAGUCAGUAGGUCAAACGACUUAUCCACUCUCGAAAGACAACAAUUCCUUAAACUGCACUCACUGUUUCCAGUAACCGUAUUCCCCCUCUCUGCCCUCUGAUAAACGUGCUGCCGACAACCUACGGAGAGCCCAGAGGGUCCGAACGAGACCCAUCGUAGGUCCCGCCAGAAGGUUAGUCUUCUUCACAGGCUAGUUUCCCCUUGUGAAUGUUUAAGAGGAAAAAAAAAAUCCAGUUAGGAGUAACGUGUGGAUGAAGUUUCUUCACUUAAAGAGUUAGAACUUUUUCUCCGUGGAGACCAUGUAGUAAUUUCUUUCUUUCACACAAGAGGAUAAAGUGAUCCUUAAAAAAUAUAUAGAAGAGCAGUAACUGAACAUCUAAAAGCCCCCUACGAACGGCUUCCUUCUGUAAAACAUCCUUUCCUCCCGAAAAGAACUAGGAUAUUCAAAAGAUUCGAGGAUUACUCAAUUAAUCCAUGUUCUGAAAGACCCUUUACAGGCUUCUCUGAGUCCUGCAGUUCCACGCAUUAAAUCAUAUAAAGCAGAAGUAUUUAAGAGCGUGCUAGCAGUCUGUGAAUCCACGACUCAAAGACGAUAAACACUGGUUUAGCAUUAAUCUUCGGAAUCUACCACCUACUCACCACAUACAACACUGCUUCGACUCAGCGACCUUCGGCAUAGGAAAUCACCAGCCACCGGCAAUGAAUCCACAAUUCCAAGAACUCACACAUUCCGGCAAAUAGAUGGACAUGCGUCUCUAAAUAUAGGUACCGAGACCUUCCGGGACAGUUCUUCAGUAGGAGACUGGAAAUACUUUUGCUUUCUGUAUCGAGAGUACUUUCUUUCUUUUUAAAGAGGAGGUUUCGUUUUGAUCUUGAGAAAUUGUCUCUGAUAAAACCACCAACUGAAAACCUGCCAUUAUAAACGAGGGGUUUCACAACGUUCAUUCCAAAAAACUGUGGCUAUUCAUUUCUGGAAGUGAUUCACUGCAAAAGAAUCGUUGUUGGCGGUGGAGGGAGCAUUAAUUUUUAGAAGGGAGCCUGCCCUCUGAGAAGUGAGCAGAAACCUCAGGGACGGCAGCCACGUGCCUUGCUGACCCCUAUUACGGUUCCCUGAAUCACUGUCCCUCAAGAUGACACUCGAUGACCAAUUUCCCCUUAGAACUCCCUCAGUAUACAAAAACCCUUUGGUCUGUACACCCUGAAUUUAAUCCUCUGCUCGGGUGGAAAUGUUCAAAUAAAUCUGCGAAGGCUGCAGCCACAUUCUCCACCUGUCAAUGCUUGGUUGCUGGCGAGCAACCAGCAUACGGAUACUCACUUCCUGUGAGUAUUUCUAAAAGAGCUUAUGAUAUUUCCUUUGAAAGGAAAAGUGGGGAGGCAAACAGCACAGGGAGGAGAAGGAAAUCCAACAAGCAAAGCGAAAAGCAUGCAACGUGAUCACUGUUUACCAGCCACGCCUAAUUUUAAUUUGGUUUCUCAACCCCUGUGUAAUUAAGAGAGCCAACAGGGAACAGCAUCAGGAGAAAGGAAAAAAAGACAUUUCACAAAUGCUUGGACCUUCAGUGUGCGUGACCAGAAAAGUAAUUUUAAGAUACAAGUGAACCAAUCUGAGGCUGGUUAGAGCAUUAACCCUUCCAAGAAAGAAUGGGAGUUAUUUUCAUUUGUCCCCAAAUUUCAAAUAUGGAAAUCAUCUUCUCUACGGGGCACUGAGACACUGAAGACACAGCCUCUGAGUGCCAUCCCUGGGGUUUGGAAAAGAAAGAACUUUUUCAGAUUUGUCUGAGACAGGGCCAGAAAAACAUUUAUUUAUAAGACGCCGUCACAUUAACACAGUGGCCACGUGGCUUUCACACCAAAGCGCCCUUUGAAAACUGGCCACGAGGGGCUGAAAUAUGACCUUUUGUAUUUCUCUUGGCUUUAGCCAAAUCUGAUCAUUUAUACCAGAGAAGAGUAGAAUUUCAUGACAACUGAACAAAUGGAGCAAGAAAAAUUGCUUUUAUCCCACCUUAAGGAGUACCAGUGGGGAUGGAACUCAUUUUCUGAAGGGACUAGUAGAUAUUUUGCUUAGAGAGGAGCUUAAAAAAAGCCUGUGCUUUAUUUUCAGGCUGUUCAUGUGCUUCUAUCUUGGGCGGGAAGGGUGGGGAGAGGGAGCUCACGAAGGUGGGAGGAGCACACUCCUGGCUUCCACUUAAUGAGAACUGAAGAAUAAAAACAAAUAAACCAAGUGCAUCCACGUAUUUGUUACCCAGCACCGCGAAGCCCUUAGUUUCUAACCUGGUGACACUUUGCGAUGUACACCCCAACUGCUCUAUUUCUCAUUUUUGAACACUCAAGACAAACAUGAAGAAUAUAUGGAAAAUUUACAGAAUCAGUAUUUGCUCUCCAGAUCUCUGGGCCCACUGUUCUCUGCCCCCAACAAAAUAAAACCCUGCGACAAAUAUUCUUCAUGUUUAACGUUUACGCAAAGUUUCUUUUUAAACAAUGAAAAAAAGUGCACUCUUUAGUGGCACUUUUACAGAAAAGAGAGGGAGUGGCCUCAGACGGGAAGGGACACCAGAGCACGGGAAGUCAGAAGGCCUUGUGUUCGAGUUCCAGCUCUUCCUUUGGCUCUACUUUGCUCUGGUUCAGAUCACGCAACCUCCUUAAGCCAGUUUAAUCACCAGUGAUAACAGCAUACUCAUGUACACGGUUGGUCUGGGUGCUAUCAAUAGCCCAACACAUACCUAUCUACACAUUUAAUCCUCAUGAUAACCCUACAAACUAAGUCCUGUUAUUAUCCCCAUCCUACAGAUAAGUAAACUGAGGCCCAGGGAGUUGAAGGACUUGACCAGGAUCACACCAUCAGUAGGUGGUGGAGUCAGGACCCAAAGCCGGGGAGCUUGAUCUUGACCACUCUGUUCCAGAGCUUUCCACCGGCACAUCCUCCAGUCUAAAACAGCACUUAUGAAACUUCCUUGAAAACUACAACACAAGGCAGAAUUUUAAUCAUGCCACAUGCAAAUGUAUUCUCUGCAGAAUUUCAAAAAAUUAAUGACAACUAAGUAUCAGUAAUUCUAACACAUUAGUUUGUUCUCUGAGAACAGCUUUGUAUAAUUUGCAGACUACUUCUUUGCGUAAUCUGCGAUGCUGAGUUUCAGAGGGAGAAAGGGUUUAGAGAUGAUCGUGUUUUCAAUCCGUGUGGUUACGUGAGGCUCACAGUCUCAGAGUUAAAGUUUGAACCUCCAUCCUGUAUGCCCCAGAGCAACACUGUGCCACCCACUGCGUCACAGCCCCACGGGGUCUAUAAGUGCACCUGAACUGUGACACCCUUCCCGGGUAUGUCAACCUGAACGUCAGGCGUCCAUUCAUUCACGUGAUGCAUGGACAUGUAAUAUUUCCUCCGAAAUGAGCGUCAGUUAUAAAUUCUCUUCUCACUACAAGCUCCUCAUGCUUUAAGAAGAAAAGAGAAAGAUGAGGAAAGAAAUCCUUUCUUCACCUUAUUUUUUAAAGUCAGGGAAAAAUGAAGCCUCUAUUAAAGUUCUGCCUAUGAUGAACGUAACUGAAGUUCCACCCAAUUCUUUCUUUUCUCUUUAAACUUGCUCAUAGGCAGACUCUUUGACGUCUAACAAACUGUCUCUCCCACAUACUGACUGAACUUGGCUACAAGCGUAACUGGAAAUGGGGGGAACUCUUUGGCUCGACGGUGGAUGAUGACUUGGCCAUUUACUUUUCGAGGAAAAGGUAACUUCCUACUUAGGGUCUUCAAGCUUUUCAUGCUAUUUACAAAGUUUGGCCUUAUUAUUUUCACUCAAAAUUUUUUUGAUGGUUCCAUAUCAUGUUGGGUCACGCCAAAAUACCUGAAAAUGCCUCUUCCUAAAACAAAGACAUUUGUUGACAAGAAAAGUUAAGAGAAAGAAACAAGGCCACAUUCUGGUUUUAUUUCCACUUAAGACAGCAAAGAUUCUGGGAAAUUUAUGUACGUUAAAUUUAUAAGCCGGCACUUUUUUCCCCCCCAAGAUUUAUUUGGCGUGAAAAGUUACUUCCCGUACUGUAAUCAUAAAAUCAAAUGUUAUUUACUCCCGUCAUAAUCAUUCACAUACUUCCUGUCAUAAAAACGUGAACUUGGUUGGAAUAUUAAACACUCGAAAAAUUAUAGGUAGGAAGUGGUUAUAUGGAUAUAUAUUAUUAUAAGUUCACAUUCUAAUCUAAGAAAGGGACGAAUCUUCCCUUCUUGGAAAAAGCAGUUUUAUGCUAUAUCAUUUUGGGUGACUAGUCCCACUUAUGGGCCAUAGAAUGAACUUUAAGGGUAAAAAGAGCUUUCCUUAUUCACUGAGCUCAAUCAAUAUUUCGUGGUGGCUCUCAGGAUGCCUCCCAAGGGAAAUGUGUGUGUAUUGGGCUGCAAUGUAUUUGCAGAGUUCAUGGCCUGGAGUUAAAACUGUGAAAAUUCACAACCUUACCUAGGGUAGGAUGUGCACAUUUUAAAUGCAUGUGCACAUUUUUCGUUGAUGCCUGCAUACUUCUAAAAGAAAACAAGCUUCUAAAUUCCUAGGCUUCCUUGUGUCUGGUGGGAAAAGCAGAGCCAGUGUACACAUACAAUGAUAGAAGAAAGUGUGCACGAGCAGAUUUGUUUACAAAGCAGGGCCCAGCAAAGUCUGUCUCUCAGUGCCACAGCAGGAUCCAUCCAACAAAACAAACACACAAACACAGAAGAAUCUAUGGGAACCGCUCUUCUUUCUGAAGAAGGUGUGACAGUUUGUGAUUAUAACUGGGCAGUAAGUUAUAUAAUAUCACAAUGUGGCUCAGUCUUGAAUUGGGAAUAUGCCACAGAGUCCAGUUUAACACACACACACACACACACACAGAGGUGCACAGACUUAUAGACCGUACAGUGGUUUCAAUGCUCCUCCUUUGGCAUUAGAGUCUCAAAUUUCUUUCUUUUGCACUGGCAUCGUCUUCUACCUUUAAUCCUACAUAUUUCCUUGUGGACAAGGCGGUCCCUUUAAAUUCAUCAGGAAACAACAAAACCAACAAACUUUACUUAUUUUAGUUUAAUUAACUGUAUGGUCAUCUGACCAGGCUUUAAAGUUUAGACCCUUGCUUCCCUUCGUGAGGAGCAGAGCUGAGCCAAUCAGUGGCCAAAUCUAAUCUGCCCUUGUUUUCAGUGACUGCUGCCUUUGUCCACUCCCUCCCGUUCCCACUUUCAUUCAGCAUGUCAGAUCUUUAUCACUUUGUUCCUGAACAAGUUAUGAUGGCCUUUUUAAUUGUUUCACUUGCCAAUGAGCGACUAUGUGGUGGGAAAAUACAGUAAAGAGAAGGAAGAUUGGGUUCUGGCUUUGGCUCUGCCAGAUAUAAACCACGUGAUCCUCAUAAAGUUACGUGAUUUCCUUGGGCCUCAGUGUUCUCAUCCAUGGCCUGAAGAAAAUGGCUAUCAAAUUAUACGGUCUAAUCCAGGACAUACCAGUCACCAAAUAGAAUCUUCUGAAAUUUAGCUCAAGUCACUGCACACCUUAAAAAUCUUCAGUGACUUGGCCAAAAUUUAAGUUCUUCCACCUGAAUUAAAUCUGAAAGACUCAUAUAAAACGUAAGGCACCACAUAAACAGAACAGCAACCCUAAUAGGGAUCAUUUCUUGAUCUGCACGCACUAUGUACUCCUCAGGAGUUUUACAUACAUGGGCUCUAAUCCCCAUGACCACUCGGCAAGGUUGCUUUCAUUACUCCCCAUCACAAAUUAAGAAUCUGAAGUUCUGUGAAUAACUCACCCGAGGUUAUAUAACCUAGUUAAGUGCCAGGAAUGACAUACAAGUCUACAUGUGGUUGAUUGCAAAGCCCACUAAGCCCUACUGAGUGCUCUGAAGGUAACAUAAUAUGGGGGGCGGGGGUGUCCCUAACUACUUUAGCAAUCGAUCUUUGAGUCCCUGUAGCUACCAGGAGGCAUAAGGAACAACAGGUCGUCAUAAUAUAAAAACACUGACAAAGCGAUCACUUAGCGUUUAGUCCUCAUGAACAUCAGCAUCUGUUCCUGCUUACUUUCUUGGUUGGUUAGUAUCACAGAGUAAGAAUGCAAAUACAAUGUGGUUCACUUGUAACGUGAACCUGCAGGUUUUACAUAAAGUUGAUAAAAACGACACUGGAGAACUGCUUCAGUCACACGCAGUCACUGACAAAUAUGGAUCAAAGAGCUGAAUGGGUGACAACUAAGGAAGAAAAAGUCAACAGAGAUGAUUACAUGAGAGGCAGACUCUUCAAGAGAAUGGUUUGUGUAUCAGAAGAUUAAGAGAGGCCCUUGGGAGAAUUUGACGCUUGUACAAAGAUCACCCACUUUAUGAUUCUGCCACAGAAGCCAACCUUCAAUCUUUGUUCUAAGAGACAACAUAGUGCUGCAUCAUAUCCCAAAUUUCUGUUACAUAACGUAAUACAAACUUAGAUUCAACUUUCCUUUUUAACUUUUUAAGACUUAGUCCCAAUAAAAUCUUUUUAAAAAGUUUUACUGUUUGUUUUAAAUGUCUGAUUCAGUUUUAAGUCGAUUCUCUUAAAGUAGUGGUUUUCUGGUACCAGUUAUCUUCAGAUGUAAGGAUCUCUUGAAAUAGCAGUAAUAGAAAAUGGAAGAAUAAAAGGAUUACUGAUAUGCAAAUAGUAGUCAAUAAAAAAGGACUAGUUCUCGACCUACAAAUGGAAAGUAAUAUCCUAGUUUUCCUUGAAUUUCAAGAUUCUCAGUCUCACCUAGUUCAAAGGCUCCCAAGAAGAAACCAAGCUCAUCAGCCCCAUGCCCCAGUCCUGCCACUCCAUCUAUGGUGGCACAGAUACGGCACUUACACGGCAUCAGGCUAGGCCUUGGGCAAGUCUGAGUAUCUAGGCAAAACCAGGCUGCAGUCUAGCAAACUCUCAGUGUAAAUCCUAACUUUAUAAGAUUCACUCCAUCCACUCCAUCUUCAUCCAGCUACCUGAAGAUCUCUACAUCUUUUCCGUAAGACAAGAGUUUAUAAUCUGGAAGAAUUUUGCCUUAUAAUAAUUCACUUUAAAAACGCCCCACUGUAUCAAGAUCCUUUCUAACAUAAAGUAUGUAUAUACACUUGUGAAUAAAAUUAAAUGGCUUUGGUUUCUGCAAAUAUCCUUCAAUCAAAGGUUCAGAGAAGGGCUAUUUUGAGAAAGAUUUAAUGGGAUUUGUAACAUAAAACCUCAGAUGCAUGUUGACUUAAGCAAGACAACUCUGGAAUACAAAGUGUGUUUGUUGUGCUUUUUCUGGUGACGACAAUGUCCACCUCCAAGAAUCUAAUAAAAUAAUGUUGUCUCCAAUGCCAGAAAGAAACCCAAGAAGGCACACCCUCAGAGGAUUGAGUCUUAAAUUGGCAAAUUCUGGGGCAUUCACUGUAAGCAAUCAGAACAUUAUUCAUGAGCUUUUGGCCUUGCAAGAUUGUUGUUUGCCUUGUGGAGAUUGGCAUGUUCCUAAAGAGAUAGCAGUUCUGUGAUACUCUGAAAUAGCUCCUUCUCUCUGAAAAGCAAAAGGAGUUACUCUUCAUUAAGAAAAAUCCUGAGCCUAUAACCUACACAUUAUACUAGAGAUUCUUUUUCAUAUAUACAGAAAGGAUAUAUAAGCUCAAUAAUGCACAGUGCAAAAUUAAUAUGUAAAUAUAUACAAGAGCCUUUCUAGAAUUCAGAAAUCUGAAACUGGGGAAUGGGUUGAGCAGAAGUGGACAGGAAGGAAGAGGGGGCAGUUUAGUGGUUACGAACUCCUGACUAGGAUUCCAAAAGAUUUUUAACACAGCGCUGGUUUUCCAGAAAGGCUUUUGCAGCACCGAGCCCAAAGGCAGCAUAAUGAUGUCGUCGCAGUGUAUAUUAAUGAAGGCCACUGAUAAUGACAUGCUCUCUCGUAAGACUCGACACACAAGCUGAAUAUGCAAGCAGAUGAGGUAGAGGCAGGCGGCAGUUCCGUUUACAGCCCUCAGAAGCAGUGAAGCCUGUGCUUCAGAAGCUCGGGGUGGAAUGCUUGUUUUGGAGAGCGUUCAGCGGAGAGCAUUUGGUUUCCUCCAUUUAACCAGGUCACCCAGGCAUGGAAUGCACAGCUCUGCCAGACAGAGAGCGUUUUGGAUGCCUGAGAAACAACAGCUUGUCCAGGCUACUGAUGCGAAGAGAGGCCACGGUUUCUUUUUCUCUGCUUUGAAUGGCAGCCUUGACGUCACAACAGCUAGGAACCACUGAAGGGACAAAUAAGGGGCAAGCCAAGAGCGCCCUGCUCUGUUGCAGAGCUGUUUUCAUCUCGUUCUGGUAUCUUCUGUGGCUGCAGGGAAUCAGCAUGAGCAGAGGAGGAUGACUAGAGCUUAAAAAUAAAGGCAGUCUGUGAGGUUAUAAAACAGACCUUUGACCAGUGCUAAUGAUUGCCUUCAGGAAACCUGGAUAAACUUCGGCUCCUGAAUUAAACUUAUUUCGGGCACAACAGACUUCCCAGGGAACGCUUGCAAUGAUUCUGCUGAUGGCUCAGACGUCUGCACUUGCCCUGAAGAGCUAAACUUUUUGUAUUUCAAAGCAGACCUCUUCUAAGAGGGGCUGGCACAGAAGUCCGGGGAAAUACAAGAAGCUCAUGAGAGCGGGCAGACAGUCUUUGCAAGAGAUGUGUCUUAUUUUCUAGGAUAAAAUCAUCCUUUGAGGGAUUUUAUAAUUUAAGUUCAAGCAAUUAAACAUGCGCAUUAGCACCCAACUGCAGGUGUCUGAAUAAAUGGGUGAAAAAUGGUCAGAUGCUAGCGGGCUUAACGCACCAUCAUCUAAAAUGAGUUGUCUAUAGAAGGCAUCAGAGCAGUUUGAAAAGCAUGAUCUUCCAUGUUUCCACCUUAUAGCAAAAUUAUAAAUUAUAUUUAGCUGCGUGAGUGCCAGAUCAUUUAUUUCCAUUAGAAAUGCAAUGCUAAGUGCAGACAUACUGGGCCACCUGCAGACAGGAUCAGAAAGCCUCAUCCCACUGCCUUCUUUUGCCACAUGGUUGCCUGAAGUUCAGUCCUCCGCCUUGGGAGCACUGACAACUUUCACGAACGCCAAACCCUAGCCCGAACCCAACAUCGCUUGGGUCCUUUGGGACGGCUGAUGCUGGAAAACCAGGGGCUGAGGCGUGUGUGUGUGCAUGUGUGUCGGGGGUGUGCGGCCAGUGGGAACACCUGCUCCUAGGACUUUCUGUGCUCGUAUUUGGAAAAGAAGUUCAGCAGAAAGAACAACGCUUCCAAGGUACUCCGUCCCUUUUACCAGCUCUUUCUUCUCUUGACUAAAUAAGCACUUCCAAAGCAUGCCUUCCCUGUGGUCACUGGGUCAAUCUUGUUUCACGAGAAUUAUCUGCUACGAAGAUUUACUCACUUUCAAAGAUAAAAGGGUAAAAUUCUGACCCAAAACUCUCAUUUAAGACUUCUACAACAGAAUACACUCUUUCUGCCUUCGGGUUGUCCUACAGGUAUCUGGGGCCUGUUCUGGAAUCUGGUCUUUGGACUCAAAUGACCUCACCUGGGUAGAAAAGAAACUCUGUGCCUUGUUCCUGCUGUUAAAAAAAUUCAAGCAUGUUCAGUGAUUAAACAAUGGAGAGGAUACAGCAAAAAUUAUUUUUUAAGUGAAUUUUCUUUCAAAUGGCAGUUAUAGUCAAGAGGUGAAAUUUAUUCUAGCCCUACCCUUGUUUUUAUUUUAGAAGAGCUUUUUAUAGUUUAAGAACUAUAAUUAAAUUCCCUCUGAACUGAUUUAUUAAACUCAAGUUUUCAAGAAGAGAAUGAUGGCACUUCUCAAACUAUUAAGUUUCCAAAAGGAAGACAAUUUAUUUUUAUUCUAAUGCAAGGGAGGAGAGAAUGAGAGGUAAAAUAUUUUUUCCAUCUGCACCUUGACUACAAUUUUUUAAUGUUCAAAUUACUAGUUAUAAAAGACAGUAAACAAUCAGGCAUUCAUUGAAAAACAACUAUUGAAAAGGCAAUAUUUAAAAGAGAAAAAAUAAAACAUGAUGUGAUUAAAACCCUCCGCACGUCUUCCCUUCAAGGCAAAUGCUGUGCCCAUCUGGGUAUUUAGAAGGUGCCAACUAUCGCUGGGACCUAGAGUUAGUUCAUCUCAUAAAGAAAGCACCGCAUCUGAUUCCUUCACAAAAGACCUAGAACCUCAUGGAAACGAUGGUGGUGAGACGGACAGCGAACUGUUAACAUUAAGAUGAGGUAUUUACUUCAAAAUUAUUUAAAUAAAGAAUCAAUCACAAACAUGAACAAACUUUCAAUGGUCUAGUUAGUGUUCUACUCCUAAUGAGAAAAGGUAAUUUUAAAGAGAAUUUUCAGCUUUCAUAGGUUUCUGCUCUAAUUUUUGUCUCUGUUUGGAAAUCUUUAAAAAAAUCAGUGUUUAGAAACCCAGGCUGCUUUUAGUCAGAAGCGCCAAAGAACACAAGACAAGAUUUGUCCCCAAGGGACUCAAGAACAGACCCUGAGAAUCUACACACUGGACAUGGUACCCGCACGGAAGGCAUUGUUUUUGCUUGCUUUAGUGGUGAGGACUGGCAAGAACCAGAGUUCCAGGGCCCUCUUUUCAAGUGACGGGAAAUAGGAAAUGGGCUGUGCCAAGCAGCUCCCAGCACACGCAGAGGUAUCCAUGUUCAGAGGUUGAGCUGGCGCGAGCUGACUCGCCAGCCAGGGCGGCCACCCUUUGCAGGGAGGGCAGCUUUCCUUACACCCACUCUCUCGUGCCCCCUGAGUCUUGCCUGGACAGCAGUUCUGAUCCUUGUUUUCAAUCUGAGGACAUUAUGGGGCUUUUCAUGAAUUUUCUUUAGGAACAGACGCUAGUGCAAACACCACAGAAAUGAGCUCUCCCUUUUCCAAUUCCUCUGCUGAAAAUGGUAGAGAAUAUGUAUAGCCUAGGUCUAACCUUAUUUGUCAAAAAAUACAACUGAAAAAAGUUUUCUCCUCUGGUUUAUCAGAACUCAACCAACAGUCAUCAUCCAAUCUUAUAAAGCACAGGUGAGAAAUCAGUUUUCACAGAUUGUCAUUUCCGCUUGUUAGAAAGAUAAAUAGUUAGAUAAAAAGACAGUUCUUCCUGUCUAUCUAUCUAUCUACCUACCUACCUACCUAUCUAUCUAUCCCUCCAUCCAUCCAUCCUUUACUAACGUGAAAACAAACUCAUAACACUAACUUUCAAGAGUGAUUCUGUAUUAGAAAGCUUUAUAAAACCAAAGUCUUCAUGCUUAUAAAUCUACCCUCUAACAGGUAACAACACAGCAGCUCUGUCAUCAUCCUUAGUUUCUGAAUAUGUACGCAGAGAAGUGACACACACCGGGGUUUAUCUCCUUACAUGUUCUCUCCCUUCACAGCACAUCAGGACCUGUAACAGCCUUUGUCUGCUUGUAUGCUGCCUCCUUCUUCCACAGUCUGUAAAUUCCAUGAAGGCGGGAUUAACGCCUGUGCUAUCCUUGUAUAAACACUGUGGGUGGAAGGAGGGAAGAGAAGGAAAGGGGGAGGGGAGGGGAAGGACGGGAAGAAGAGAGAAGUAGUAAGAGAAGGAGGAAGGAAGGAAAGAAACAGUGCAACGCUAGCUACGCUGGUUUUACUAAACAGAAGGAGGACAUUCCCAGUUUCAUCAGAUUUUUCAUUCAAAGAACCUACCUAAAAUUCUUUGUAACUAUCAUCUCACCAAAUCACAUAACUCCAAGUGAUCUUUUAACAUUAUUACUUAUGACACAGAGGCAUAGAAAUGAGGCAUAAUUGGCACCUAGAUCUUUCAUGUUUUAUCUGUAUAACAGCCACUAAAGCAGGCAGUUCUCCUUACUGACCUUCCAAGUUAUCUGUGUGUCAAUACACAGCUGUGUCUCGCUAUCUAGGUGGAUAGCUUAAGAAUCGUGAUAAAGCUCCAGUAUCUCUUCCCCUUCUAUUCAUUCAAUGUGUCUUGGAAACACAAAGCCCCAAUUUUAACUUUGGAUGUAUUUCUGUAAAGGAAGAACUAGCUCUCAAGCAAUUCUCCUUUUUACCACCCACAUAAAAAUGUAGCUUCUGGGAAAAGGACUGAUGAGGAAAUCAUUUACUGAUAAUAAGCAGGGUCGCUGGGGACUGAGGACAACCUCAGACCUGACAGCUAGGAAGGCAGGUUGUGUCACUAAGAGGAUUCUGGUGCACCCUCCCAUCACCCGGCUCUGGGGGAACAUCCAGGUGUUCUUCCUCAUACGUGUCCUCUGAUGGGCAUUAUCAUCGACACAGGACAGAGAAGGGCCGACCCCGCCCGGGAGCCAGGCCCGGGGCUCAGAGCCUCGUGCUCAGUCUCCACAGCGACACGGGCUGCAGGAAGUGGCAACGCAGUCACGUGCCCGGCAGAGAAAGUUGUGAACACAGACUUUGUCUAAGGGAAAGAAAAGUCCAACAGACCAUUAUAGCUUCGAAACAUCUUGUCCACAAACAGUCACUGACGGAAACAACUUGCUGAGCUGAGCGCAGCCCGAAUCUGGUCUGUUUCUGCCACAACUGCCUAACGCCCUCUGUCAAGGCAGAGAUGGACAUAAGCUUCUGUCACCUGCGGCUGCCCUGGGAAUCCUGAGAAUCAAAAGGAAGAAAGCAAGUCCUUGUACACCUUAAUAUGGUGGGUCCCCUGUGAUAACUUUCCAUCCGAAAAAUACAUUCAAACUCAGUUCCGAUCUGAACACAAUCACACCAACCUUGGAAAUUCAGCUCUCAUCUUGCUGAAACCUUUCUCUCAGUUGUUUCUUAAUCAGUUUAUCAAAAUGUGUGAUUCACUGAGGGUCUACAAUAUAUCUAGCAUUCUUCUGAUGACAAAAGUAAUAACUUACUCCCUUUGGUCUCUGCACUCGAGUAGUUUAUAAUUCAGAUUUCCUUCUUCCUUCUCCUAAAUGCCUACAUCCUUUUCUUGACUGAUGUGGAUUUGGAAAAUAGAGCGCAUUCACAAACAUAGGAAGCUAACAGCACGGCACCCAUCACACAGCAAGAAAAGCAGAGAAGCGUCAAUUCUGACAGUGGGGCUAAUUCAUCUGGGUCCCGACCUCUAUCACCAGUGUCUCGGGAAAGCAACCUUCUCCAUCACACCCUCCUGUUGGCAAUAAGCUGUGACCCGCGGACUCUGUGCGUGGGACAUUGGGCUCUCUAGCAUGAUCUGCAAGAGCAUUCUCAGGUCCAGCUGAGGUCUCACCUCCUUCAGCAAGCCCCGGGGAGAGAUGGAAUCAGGGCCAAUGAACUAUGAUCUAAUCCUAGUGCCCAUGUGAGUUUGUCAAAGGCCCUCAGAGCAAAUUGUGUUUUCCCUGGCUGGGACUUGGCUUCCUUGCUUUAAAAAGGAUUCUUAGUAUUUACUGCAGUAAAAUUAAGCACUUUCAAAUUUCUGCCAGAUCCCCUGGAGAAAUAUGGUUUAUUAACACCGAACAAAUGUGAUGCUUGAAAGGCAGGAGAUCCGGGUUCUAGUCCCUGGCCCAUACUGACUCACUGGGAGGCUUGGGGCAAAUAAGCAGACAUGAUUUUUAAUGGGCACAGGGUGGGCACUGGGUAAGCAGGCAGUGCUCUUGUGAAGUGUGAGGCCGGGUUCUGUGGGGAAACUAAGUCAGUACAGACAAAGGCCUUUGUUAGGAGCCCGUUGCCUGCAGUGCUGUCUUGUAGCCGGGCUCAAGGUGGCCACGCUGAAACGUUAUCCUAAAAUUUUUGAUAUCUUGAAGCUGAAGGAACUGGGUGAAAUCUGUCAUUUAAAAGAGGGGCAGGGCAGUCCCACAUAGUAGCUAAGACCACAGCUUUUAGGAGCCAACUCCACAGAUUCAAAUCCUGGGUCUACUAUUUAAGCUUAGUUUUCUCAUCUGUAAAAUAUGAAUAAAUAGAAUCUACUUGUAACAGGUUGUUGUGAAGAUCAGAUGAGCUCAUACAUGUAAAGUAAGCACCAGGUGAACAUUAGCUAAAAGUUAACAAGGUACUAAAAUCAAAUAUAAGAAUUAAGUGUCUAUUCUUCCAGUUUACAAAGCAAAUUUAUAUAUAUAGUUUCAUUUGGACCUCAUGAAAGUCCAUGAGAGCGGUAAUAAUAAUUCCUAACCUUUAUACAGCCUGUAAAACAUUUCCUCCUAUUUUCUUUGAAGCUCAUACUCUCCUCAUUUGUUCUUUUGCAAGUCACAACUCAGCCAAGUGACCUGGCAUUGGAAAAACAAAAAGACAGAACUUUAAGAAAUAAACAAUAAUAAUUUUUAAAAUAAAAAUCUCAAUUGAUAGGUCAAACAGCAUUCUAGAAACUGCUGGAGAGGUAACACUUUCCAUGCCAUCUCCACACUGAACUCCCCGUCUCAGAUGUCUCUCCUAAAUGACAGAGUUGAAUAUCCACCUGUCUACUCGACAUCUCCACUGGAACUGACAUCUCGAAGUCGACACGUCUAAAACGCGAUUCCUCGUUUUUCUCUGCUCUCCCAUAAACAAGAUAAUGGGUAAACUGUGACAUAUUUGCACACACUGGAAUAUUAUAACACAUACAUGAAGGAAUUGGAGCUAUUCCCCCACAACAACAUGAAUCAGUUUUACCAACAAUAUGGGGGGAAAAACAUAAGCUGCAAAAAACCACACUCAGUGUGUCACCAUUUUUUACGUGGCUCAAAAUGCCUUCAGCAAUGCACAUGUGUGAUAAAAUAUAUAUAUUUGUUAAACAAUCAAGAGAAUUAAAAACACAAAUUUCAGAAUUGUGAGGAAGCCGGAGAACAAUAGGAAUGAAGUACACAGAGAGAGCCAAAAGUAUCUGUAAUGUUCUAAUUCGCAAAUUGGGUGGUGGUUCACUGGAGUGCAGUUUUUAAUUUAGAGCUUCCUUGUAUGUUACAUAUAAUCUUUUGUAUAUACCAAAUAAUCAACAAAUUAAAAAGACAGAAAUAUGACCCAUGAAAAUAAGCUGUGUUAAAAGUUACUCACACUUCAAAACAAUAAACUAAGCAGUGAAGGAAAUUAAAUCUUGCCAAAAAUAUGAAGAAACUGAUGUAUACUAAUAAAUUUGCUUAUGGAAUAUAAUUACUUUAACAAGGAUGAAUAAAACAUGCAUGUAAAAACAUGGGUCACAUGCCAAAGGAAAAAAGACCAGGUUUACAGGUCAGAACAAAUUUAUUUAUCAGGACUCUUUCUUCUAUUGUGUUAGGCUUUCCUUCUUAAAACAGAAGGCGGGGCCAGCCCCAUGCGGUAGUGGUUAAGUUUGCCACGCUCUGCUUUGGUGACUGGGGUUCAUGGGUUCAGAUCCCAAGCGCAGACCGAUACCACUCGUCAGCCAUACUGUGGUGGUGACCCACAUAAAAAAUAAAAGGAAGAUUGGCACAGAUGUUACCUCAGGGCUAGCUUUCCUCAAGCAAAUAAAAGAGGAAGAUUGGCAACAGAUGUUAGCUCAGGGUGAAUCCUCCUUAGCAAAAACAAAAAACAAAAAAACAAAAACCAGAACGUAUUGAUGUUGCUGUUUAGUAUUAACUGUUUAGCUGGUGGAUGGUCCAAAGCCACUAAGGAGGAGAACUUUGCCCUGCCCUGCCCGGUCCUGGGCCUCUCAAGGCUGAAGCUCGUCCAGGAGCAGUGGAGCCGCACCUGCUGGAGGCAUGUGAUUUUAGUUUACCUUUCUUUCCUCCAUCAGCACUGAGAGCAGACAGUUUGUUGUAGCUAGACUUAAAAUACGCUUUCUUCUUUCUAGAACAUCUAAGUUGCAAUUCUUAAAAUGAGCACAGUAUCAGAGUCUAUUUUAGAAGGAAGUGACCAAGCUCAAAGCAACAGUAGGCGUGAUGUGCCUUGUUUAUUUAUCUGUUCCAACAGGCAUAAAAGAAAGACGCCUGUGCAUUUCUUGUCUUUUUCAAAUAAGAGCUGGAUCUAUUUGAAUGGCCAGGGAGGAGAAGAUAGUUUGAUUUAGAUUUGGCAUGGGUUUAGGGGAAGAAAUGUCUUUGCAGCCAGUCCUAAUAUUAUGGUAACUUGGACGGAGUUGUCUCCAAGGGAGAAGUCGCCACAUGUUAUAACAGAAGCCACUGGGCUUGGCAAGGAAUGGAAUGAAAGAAUUACAAUUAAAACAACGCCAUUUCUGCAACAUGGCGAAGAUGUGCGGGCCAGGACGACUGCCUGUCCUCCUUUUCCAUGGCUGAUCAAAUUAAGCACUGCCCUUGCAUCAGCCUUUACCAUACUCUAAAGAAUAUGAAAUGCUGAGAUUAAUUUUAAUUUCCAAUGAAUUCUGAAGGAGAAUGUUUUCUUCUCCUUACUAAAAGAAGAAUAAACAAUUCAGCAUAGAGAUUCAAAAAGAGGAGUGCCAGCAAAAAUUCUGAGUUUGAGAAGGUUGAAGGUACAUUUUGCAAAUGUGUUUGUUAAUUUUAUAGCUCCAAUAGGACAAGACUGUGUUCUGUUUUGAUGUAUGCUCCACCACCCCCCCAUUUACAUUUUUAAAAAUUACAUUCUUACCUAUAUCAGUCUUGUUAUUUUGACUGGUUAUUCCCAAACACACACUGCCCUACUUUGAAGCUUUCCAAAGCCAAGAGGAGGGGCACUCUGGUACAAGGCGAGCUGUUAAUGAAUUUUUACUGAGUGAAUCUGCAUUCUUGCCUGGCCUGGAUUUGGAUAUAAGUUCUAAGGCUGCUCACACUAACACUAAUGGAGUUUCUAGCUGUCCAGGUUUCUUUUAGGUGAAAAAAAGUACAAAAGGCAUAAACCUUGGCUCACAGAGUAACUAUGUACACAGACCUGUGUAUUUCAUGAAACAUACAAGCUCAGAGCUCACUCUUUUAGACUAUACCAUCUGUUUUCCAGAGGAAAAAAAAGAAAAUUCACAUCAUUUACUAUGAGUCUGCAGAAAUCAUCAUAUACUUGCACAGUUAAAGGCAGAAUAUAAGGCUAAGUAUUGAAUGCCACCUAAUUCUGAUUUAUAUUUUUUUGGUCAAACUCAUCAUAAUUUAUUAUUUCCAAGAGGAAAAAUAAGCUGACAUAAUGGUGCUGAAUAUAGUAUCUAGUUUCCAGUUAUAAGAAGUAAAGGAAAUAAACUGAGAAAAAAUGUAAAUAUAAAUAAUACAGUUCUGGUUUACAAAAUGGUUUUCCAGGUAUUACCAUGCAGUUUAUUUAAAAAGAAAGGAGAUAUGUUUAUGAGAGAGGUAACAAACUAAGGUGUGUGUGAGUGUGUAUGCACAGAGAAAGAAAAUGAGAGAAAGACAGAGAAAAAGAGAGACAGACAGGAAUCUGGAAUAAUGGAGGAAACAGAAGUUUAGCAAUGUUUUAAAAAUCCGUAAUUAUAUGAUUUCUUAAAAGUACCAGCAUUACCUAGAUGUUGUCCUAGACCAAUGUGGAGAACAAGCUAUAAAAGACCAGUCCUGAACACUAACGAUGGGGAUGUACACAAUAUCUAGUUUCUUUUGGGAAAGAGAGAGCCAUGAUAGGGCCAUGUAGUAGCUGACUGAAGCCCAGGCUGAUAUGCUCAUCUUGAAGCACAGAGAGAGAAUGUAUCUUCAAAUAGGUGUCCAGGGCCUAAAUCCACAUGAGUCCAUAACACCCUCACAGGUCGGUGCUCUCUUCCUGGCCCCACUCUAUUUGGUAGUGAUCAGAGAACAGAGUGAGUCUGUUAGUCAUUCAAGAUACAUGCAUUAAGCACCUACCAUGUGUCAGGUACCGCACUUGGCAGACGCUGAAAUAUGGUGAUGAGCCCAAUGAAAAAAAGCUCCUGCCCUCAUGAAUCUUAGAGUCUAGCAGAGAUGAGUGGUGGGCACCAAGGAGGCACCCAGCAUAGGCCCAGCAGAGUGACUGAGAGCCCUGGCUGGCGGCAUUAAGAUGAAGGGUAAAUCCUGGUCUGCUAUCUACCUUGGAAAUAUUGUUUAACUCUCUAAUCAUUGCUUUCUUUAUAGAAAAAUGGAAUGAGGCCGUCGAGAAGACUUGAUGAGACUGUGUGUGAAUAGCACUUAAAACAGUCCUUGGCAUACAGAUAGCCCAGUAAACGGCAGUUAUGACAGUGUCGUAACUCAGAGAACCAAGGGACACACACACAGAAGUUUGCUAUCUUCUUCCCCAGAACACACUCUAACUGCUGGACAAGGAACUAACCCACAUCACCACGUUAUCACAUUUCUGUAGGAUUUUUGGCAAAUCAGAUGGCCACGAGUGCCACUAGGCUAGACAGGAAAGUCAAGUCGCUAAAAAUAUACCCCGGCAAGAGGCCCAUAUUGUUGCUGCAAGGGAAUGUUUUCUCCCUCACAAGGAGGUAGCAAGCAAGUGUUACUGGAUGACCUCUUGAAAAAUAACUUAUAAGCGUCUUCUCUAUUACAACAAGCUCUACCAAAAGCGCCUCUACCAUAAUGAAUGUUCUGGAUGACGGCUCCAGAGGGAGAGAUGAAGAGCUAUGUUCAGGACAUCUUAAGCUGAGCAGGAGUAGAGUGGAAAGGUUAAAGAGCACAACCUCCGGAGUCUGGCUGCCCAGGCCUCAAGUCCGGCCCUCUCACUCACUAGCUGCGCAGCAAUGACCAUGUUGCUCACUGGGACUCAGUGCUUAAAAUCUGUAAAAAGGGUUAAUGUUAGUCCCUAUCUCAUUGGGUAGUUGUAAGGAGUAAAAUCACAACAUGUGUAAAGCAGUUAGAAUAGGACAUGACAUAGAGAAAAUAUUCCACAAAUGUUAGCAACAAUUAUGCGUGGCAAACGCAGUAACUUUAUUAUCUUGCUAGUAAAAACAUGAGAGCCAAAUAGCAAGAAAGCGACUGAACCAACGAGAGGAAACUGAGUUCUCUCUUUGGCUCUCCCAUCAAAUUUGUGCAUCCCAGCAGGUACACCGCAUCCCUUCUGUACUUCACUUUCCUCAUCUGUACAACAAGCAAUAUACACGGACACCAAGGACACCUAGAGAGGCCUGAUGCAGAUUUUUGCUAAUACCAACAGCAGAUGAACAACUUAAGUUUCUGUAUCUUCUUAUCUGUAUUAGUCAGGGUUCUUCAAGAAACAGAACCAAGAGGAUGUGUGGGGAGAGGGGAGGAGAAUGAGGACGAGAUUCAUUUUAAGGAAUUGGCUCAGGCGCCUAUGAGAGUUGGCAAAUCCAAAAUCUGCAGGGCAGGCUGUGACGCAGGGAAGAGCUGAUGCUGUAGUCUCGAGCUAGAAGGCAAUCUGGAGGCGGAAUUCCUUCUUCCUUGGGGGACAUCAAUCUUUUCUCUUAAGGCCGUCAACUGAUUGGAUGAGGCCCACAUACAUUAUGGAGGAUAAUUUGCUUUACUCAAUGUCUACCGAUGUAAAUGUUAACCUCAUCUAAAAACACCUUCAUAGCGACAUCUAGACUGGUGUUUCACCAAAUAUCUGGGUACUGUGACCAAGCCAAGUUGACACAUAAAAUUAACCAUCACACUGGGGGCUGGCCCCGUGGCCGAGUGGUUAAGUUCGCGUGCUCCGCUGCAGGUGGACCAGCGUUUCGUUAGUUCGAAUCCUGGGCGCGGACAUGGCACUGCUCAUCAGACCACGCUGAGGCAGCAUCCCACAUGACACAACUAGAAGAACCCACAACGAAGAAUACACAACUAGGUACCAGGGGGCUUUGGGGAGAAAAAGGAAAAAAUAAAAUCUUUAAAAAAAAAUUAAAAAAAAAAUUUAACCAUCACACUAUCUUUUCAAAAGAGACGGUGCUCAGAGGUUUUUUGUUGCAAGAAAAGCCUCUGGACUACACAGCAACUUCAGUUUCUGAGAUCAGAUUAAGAGCAAGAAACUCAGAUGAUGCAUGCAUUUCUUUAGAGGUGAGUUCUAAGUCUAAAGAAAACCACUACAGCAGAUACAGAAGAAGCGGGCAUCUGAACAGUAGGAUGAGUCGGGAGAAUGCACUGCAGUCCACAGAAAGGACAAGACUUUAGAACAAGGGUUGCAAACUCAAUCCUAUAAAGGCCCUAUCUAAGACAAAUGAGUGACACAAACAGGGUGGGGGCCACACAGAGUGCGCAGUGUCCACCCCAUCUUAAAGAGCUGCUCCUCAGCUUCUUGCCGUGGAAGGCUCCGAGUCCAGUGUUCUUUCUGCAACAGCCCAAGGAUGCGCAUGGUUCAGUGGGAGGACCAUCGACCUCAAGUCAGGCAGAAGGGGCCCCACCUCCCAAUUCUAUCAUUUAUUGGAAGCAUGACCCAGAAUAAGUUACUUAAAACUCUCCAGGCCUCUGUUUCAUUUGUAGAAUGAGGUGGUCAUCACUUACACUCCAGAAUUAUUGUGUAUACUCAGGGAAAAGUGCCUAAAUUGUGACAGUUGAUACGUUUCCUUCUCGGCUUUCAUUAAUAAUCAUUUAUAAUAGCACUUACUAUGUGCAAGGUGCUGCUUUAUGACUCAUUUAAUCCUCACAACAACCCUAUGAGGCAGGUUCUCAUUGGACAAAUGAAGCACAGAAAGGGUAAAUAAUUUGACCAAGAACACACAGCGGAGAAUACUAGAAGACUGUCAAAAAAUAUAAAACAGUAAGACUCACAAUUAGAUGCUACAAAUAGAUUCACAUUCUUCAAGCUACACAAGCCUCUUUGUCUUUUCUUUCAACCCAAAAUUUGUUGCAAGUGUAGGUUAUACUUGCUGCCUGUGCUUACUGACUUCCACUCACUCCUAAAUUUCUUGCCUGCCCUUGUACCUCUAUCACGCCAAGGAACUGCCCUCUUAAAGGCACUAUGCCUCUGGGCUCACCAACCCGAAGGCCCUCUCAGGGCUCCUAUGCUCCUUGGCCUCGCUUCGGCAGGGCGCUGAUGAACACCUCCUUCUGCACUGACCUCCUCUGGCCCUCUAGGACGCUGAACUUUCCUGUUUUCCUCUUUGGAAACACCUCCCUGGUCUCCUCCCACCAUUACCACCUCUUAGAGGAUCAGUCAUUCUCUCCCUUGUUCUCUUGUUUCUCUUCUCUCUCGAACCCGGUGCACACAGUCUGUGGAAAUCAGAUUUUCAAUGCCCACCUCAGUGCCCAACCUCUAUACCUAACUUAACAGGUAGAAACCAACCUACACGCUGACCCUCUGCUCCAAGCCCUGCCAAUAACCUCUGUGACUUCAACCUCCACAUGAAAAACCCAUCCAGCACCAGGUCACUUAGUUCUUUAACCUCUUCAUCUCCCACAGCCAGCCUCUUCCCUCCACUUUACUCACCUACUCUCAUGACCUUGUUCUUUUAUCAUCAUUUGAACUGAUUCCCUUCUGAAACAAUAGAUCCUGAUGUCCUUCUCUCUGAUCAGAACCUCCCAUCCUUCAGCUCCCUUUACCAAUUACUUAAGAUACAAGUUAGUUACUUAGGAUAACCAAACCUAAUAAUCCUAAACCCCAAAUCUCACCCUCCCACUGUGUCCCCUAGGAAAGUACCAGCAGUAAGCCAGCUGUCCCAGGCAGAAACUUAGGUGUUAACUUUUAUUCUUCUCUCUCCCUCAUCUUCCUUAUCCAACAAAUCCCCAAAUUUCAACAUGUCUACCAUCUUCAGAUAUCAACCAGACUCUCUUCUCUAUCCAAAUCAUCAUCAGAUCUUACCCAGGAUUCCUACUCCUCUCUCCAAUGGUCUCCUAGUCAGUUUUCCUGCUUCUAGUUCUUGCUGCCUUAAAAUCUGUUCUCCAGCUGACAGAAUGGUCUUUCUAGGCCACGAGUCUGAUCACGUCACCCCAGUGCUUAAAAUUCACUAAUACUUCUAUGUCCUCAAGAAAAGACCAGAUUCCCUAGCACAGCUUCCGAGGCAUUUCUUGAUCUAGCUGCUGCCUACCUCUCCAGCCUUACCUCCUUGCAACUGUUCUCUUCAUUCCAGCCACACAUCAUUUCCAGUUCUUCAGAUCUACCGUGUUUCUCUCUUGCCUCUGGGUCUUAGUCCACUGUAGUUUCCCUGCCUAGAAUAUGCCCUUUCCUCACUUUUUGACUUGGCACUUGUUAUUUGAGUGUCAGGUUAAGUACUACAACUUCCUUGAGAGAUUUUCCCUGUUCCCAGACUUGGUAAUGUCCCCCUGGUAGGUGUUUCCAGAGCCAAUCUGUACUUCCCCCUGCAUUACACUCAACCCAGUAUGGACUCUCCCCUCACUAGCCUGUAGUUCUGUGAAGCAAGACUACAGCUCGCUUGUUCAUCACUAUGUUCUCAUGGCCAUGCAGUGCUGGUCCACAGUGACAGUCAAUGAGUAUCUGUUGAAUAAAUGAACAUGCAGUUGAUUCUUAAACUCCCAUCUCGGAUCCUCCUAACUUUGUCCUCAAGAUUCAGUUCCACAACUCCAGUCACCUGAUGGACAUCUUAUCAGCACCUAAACUGAGUAUGUACAAAAUGGACAGAGAUCAUCUUCUUUCUCGCAUCGACUCUCUUCCAAACCUAGUAGAGUAGAAAGAACAGAGGUGUGGGAGCAGAUGGCUGCAAUGCCCUGGUACAUACCCUAUCAGCUAUACAGCUGUAGACAAAUCUUUCCCUGAGCCUUAGUGUUCUCAUCUCUGAAAUAAGGACAAAAGUACCAACCUGACAGGAUUAGGAUAAAAUUGAAUGAGGUACUCUAUGUGAAAUGCCUGGCAAAUGGCACAGAAGUAAUAAAUGGCCCCUGAGUUCAAAAGUCUGGAGUUAUUUUUGCUCCUCAGCAGCCAACCCCCAUCAUGCAGGCAGUUCCUGCGUCCCCUCUCUUGACUCUAUCUAGUGUUCUCCAUUCCCAUUGCCCCCCUCAUGUGGGCCCUCUUCACCUCCUUCCUGGACUAUCAGAGUAGCUCUAACGGCUUCGCCAGCUCUGGUUUUCUCACUGCCCAAACCACCCCACCCACUGAUACCAGACUAGGCAUCUUACAGGACACACCCUAUCGUCACUCUCCCGACCAAAACUCUUCAGCUGCUCCCUAAUGACUCAGUAUAAAGUUUAAAUCAUUUAGUCAUACGACAUUCAGAGCCCUCCCGGACCUGGCCUCAACAGACCUUUGCUGCCUUAUCUUCUCAUUAGUCACUUUUACACACACUGUUGCCCAGCAACGACAAAUCAGUUACUGCCCGCUCCGUACACCGGUAUUUCCCAUCCCUCUCUACGCCUUUGUUCCUGCUUCCUUAACUCCAACACUCUCCCUCCAAGUCCUCAAGUCCAACACUGACUUUGGGUCAAUGUCCAGCUCAAAUGCUCCUUAGUCUUUGAUGCACUUCUCGAUCACCCCAGCCAUAGAUAAUCUCUCUUUUCUACAAACAUGUGGUGUGUUUAAUUUACAUAUCUCUCUACUUUUAUACACUUCUCUCUCUUCUGUUUACCCUAAUUUUAUCUGCACACAGAACUUAGCUCCAAGCUCUCUGAGGGCAGCAUCAUAUCCCGGCCCACACUGUCAUGCUCAAAAAAAAGCACGCAGGAAACGGAAGCUGACUGUAGAGAGCUACAGAGGAAGUCAGCCUUCAGGGUCUGCAAUCAAGCAGGUUAGCUUCUGAUCAGCUCCGAGAACAGUGCCUGGCGCAGAGCAACACUCCACACAUCACUGUUCAAUGAACUUCUCCACGAGGGCCAUCAGCUAUUGGCUAUAGGCUAGAAAGUCUGACCCCGUGGAAUAAAACACGAAAGAGAUGUGAAGAAGCCUUUUCUCUCCCAUUAUAUACUUGGAGAUGCAGGCAAGCUCCAAGUUCAUUACCUCCCACAGACUCUACAGCUAUUCUCAGCAAUAAAUAUGGCAUGUAAUGCUUUAGUACAUUAUGUCAAACUGCUCAAUUUUAACAUGUAAAUAAGAAUCAUUCUUCAAAUAGCCUCAUUUGGAGAAUACAGAGUUAUUCCAACAAUGUCCACAACCUUUUAAAGACUCACCUUUUAGAUAGCCACAACUUCUUUCCGUAAAAAAGGAAGAAGAAGAAAGAUAUCUAUUAUAGAAUGAACACCUUUUCUCCUAAGGCUUUCAACUGGCUGAGAAUUAAAGAAUUUCAGAAAUAAAUUCCCGUCUCCUCAUCCUUAAAAUAGAAGAGAUUUUUCAGGGCUUUCCUUUCCAAAAUUCUAUUACGUAAGCCACUUUACAAAUCAUACAUACAACAAUUCUCAUUUUUCCACCAAAUUUUAUUUUAGCCCCCCUUGGGCUCUAGCAACACCAUGUGUACCUUGUUACAGUACUUCUCAGGCUAUAAUGUUAUCUCUUUCUAUGUCAUUUAUCCCACUAAACUGCGUCUUCCUGGAGGGCCAGGUGCAUGAGGUGCUCCCUUUCGAACCUGCAGUACUUACUCCUGGAAUGCAGCAGGUGGCUCAGCAAAUGUUCGCAUGAAUCAAUGACUCAAACCAGUUAUUUGACCACAAACUGAUUCACCACACCUAACUCCUGCCUCCUUCCCACCCUCAAAGGUCAGAGAGUUUCCACCUCUAGGGAUAAUAAAAAAAGAUGGAAGGCUCUUAAGCCAAUGGCAAGCAGUUCUAAAUGUGUCCCUGGCAAAGAUGGCGUCACUGUCGUAGAAGUUUAAAUUCCUCCUAGCUAACACGGUACUUGAAGGUGGCAACAUUCACUUACAUGUCUGUGUGUCUUCUGCUAUGUGAGUUAAAAUAUUCAUCACAUUACUUCAGAGUCACACUCUGUAGAUGUGCCUCAUUUCACUCAUUUAUUUAGUCCCCCUGAAACAAACACUGAUGGGUAAAACUGAGUUAGUAUAAAUCACACUGUAAAAAGGAUAGUUAGCCGAGCAUCUUACGGAAUACCUAAAUUUGUUACAGAAAAAACCAAAAAGACCUGCCUGUUUGGCACUGGGUACCAUCAGUGAUUAGGAAGUGAUCCACUUUUCAGGUAUCAUCCAAUCAGACAGACCGACAUCAGCGUCUCCAGAACCUACACAUGGCUCGCUCGUCCCAGAUCCUACAGCAUAGGCACAGCUAUGUUGCCAAGAAAGCUCUUUACAAAGUGGAAGACAAAUCUGAGAAAAACUCUAAAUAAAACUACAGACAGGACUCUCAUAUUUGGGCUUUCCAAACAUAUUGUUAUGGCUUUAAGAAACACCACAUUUCCAUGUCACAAAGAGUUCUAAAAACCGGCAUCUUCUGGGAAGUCCAUACCUACUGCCUGGUGGACUAAACAGAGCGUUAAAGGACCCGAUUUUUUUAGAUGACUAUUGACACUUUGCUUAAGUACAUGAAAACUGAAAACAAAAUAACCAAAGAUUUUAGAAUUUUUCAGUUAUAAUAAAGGUUUUAUCAAAGACAAAAUAUUAUUUCAAAUUCUCUUUAAUACUUCUAAAAGUAGCACAUAUUUCUUGCAUUUAAAGAGGUGGAAACUGAGGACACAAAGCUGAAUCAUUUUGUUAAGUACUCUCCAUUUCAAAAGCAAUUAAGCCAUGACCCCAAACUCACUAAAUUCUCCCAUAACCUACUCUCAUGAGAAAGGGGCAAAAAGACUUAUUGCUUAACUGAAGGAUAAACAAUGUGAAUUAUUUCAAUGAGUGGUCCAAGAAGCUGCAGUAGGCCGCCGACUAACUUGGACAUCUGUUAAUAUCCUUGCCAUGACUUCCCUUGAGAUGAUGUGUAUAUAUCAUAAUUAACAGGUGUCCUUGAUUUGAGAAGAAUAAUAUUCCUGUACAUCCCCACUGGAUAGCUACAUGCUGCCAUCUUCUGAUUAUGCCCAGUGGAGCGUAAACAGGUUUUCAUGAAAAAGCAAAAUCAAUAAAAGUGAAACUCCCCACUUUUCCUGCCAGUAGUGCCCUCAGUAACAAAAAGGGCAAAGACAACAACACAGAGAUUACAAUACUCUCGGACAUAAUUCAAGCAGAAUUCUAAAUGGAUAAAUGCGUGUUAUAAACUUUUUUUUUGCAAGCGCCUUGCAUGCUUAUGUUACUAUUCAUUCUGAGAUAGACAGAUCAUCAAUGACCUUCUGGGUCACUGGCUAGGGAGAAAGCAGACUAUAAAAAAGACUGGGAGAAAAAUAAAGGGGGGGUUGCUUCCUUCCACCCCAGGCCCCCUACUGCCUUGAAUGAAAGAAGACAGACGGCAGCACCUUCCCCUUUAAUUAGGAGGGGCAGCUCAGAAGGGGACAGCCCUGCUCACUUGGCACCUUUAACAAACCGUUUCGAUGGUAAUGCUCUGUUCAUUCACACUUGUUUCAAACUAUUCUCAAUCUUUAAUUUACAAACUGAAUCUCUGUAAAUUUAAUUGUGAAAAUCUAUAGCUCUGAGCACAACACUAUACAUAAAAAAGUCCUUCCUGAUGUUUGCUGAAUUAAUAAUUCACAUACAUUCACAUAGGGAGCCUGGUAUGUUUCAAAUAAAAUACAGACACUCCAUAGUCCUAUUAUCACCACUUUUGAGAUAAAACAUGAAUUCCCAUGGCACAGAAGCCCUAACUUAAAUUCAUACAGUAGUCUAUACUAGAUUUAAAAAUAAGAUCCCUGAUCUUUUCAAUGCCACACGACAGUCACAGUGACUCCUUCUACCUUCGCAGUGUUACUGUUUAAGUUGAGAAAAGUCAAGAAGAUUUCACGGUAAAAACAAUUCAUUUUAUGAGGAAGGAUAAUUUAAUUAAUAGCAAAUCACAAACCACUCCGCAUUUCUAUUUGUUUUGCAUUUUCAAAACCACACAGCUCUGUAUUAAAGGUUUUAUCAAGGCAUGCAACAUCUCUGGAGACAAGAUCAGCAUAAAAAACAAACAGAAACGGAAGACAGGGGCCAAGUGUCAACAUUAGGCUGGUGUCACAAUGUUCUGCAGAGGUGAUAAAGCCUCUUAAUUAUUUUAUAAAAGCUAUUACGCACAUUUUCUAUAAAGCUAUAGAGACAGGAAACUUUCUAAUAUGAAGGAAAAGUUCAGUUUCUGUUGACAAGAUUAGGUCUUUAUGCAUUUCACCCCAUUUUUAUAUUAAAUCUGUUUUUUUCAACAUCAUUAAAUAAUUUGUAUUCUUCAGCUCCUUUCAAUUUCCCGACAAGAUUUUUAAAUUACAGCCUCUUAUCCAGGAGCCAUUCCCAUCUAGUUUCUGCAGGUCCCACAUGGGGACACUGUCCCCAUACUUGUCUUGUACAUGCACCCUCCUGCUCCCCAAUGGGAAUAAGGGCACUGCACUGGGGCUGUCUGGCUAUAGGCACUCCUGGCCACACCACAUAAAAAGCCUUGUCGGUGUCAUUGUUGUUUAAUUAAUGGCAAAGUUCGUGGUCCAUUUAAAAAAAAAAAAAGAACUUUCUGUUUUCUCAUUGAUAGUAAAUUUCAAUCUCUAUCUCUAACAAGCAAGCCAGCACGCCAGAUGUAGGAAGAGAGAUAGAAAAGAUAAAAGAAGCAAUUAGCUAUUUAACAAACUUCAUAUCCUCCUUUCCAAUGAAGGGGAAAAAAACUUGGCAUUUGCCAGAUAUUGAGUGUCUAAUAAUGUUAGCAAGAAAAAACAUGUAGGAGAGACUGACUAACAAAGAAACAAACAAAACUUACUUUGUUUUCCGGCACAGUAAGCAGGUCGGGAAUGAGAUGAGGGUAAUUCCUUCCUCAGGGCCCCUGCUUUCACUUUAAAAGCUGUGUUUAUGCUUACAUCCAGGUUUGCUGUGGAACUCCAAAAUGCCUGCACUUCUCCGGACGCCCCAAGUUCACAGCUCAUCUCGCAAGCACCGGGGACCAGGAAUUCCCAGGACAGACUGAGGCGACCUCUGGGCGCCACGUGGCACCACUGCUGUUGUUACCACACACACACACGCACCCGGGACACCCACUUGUUACCUCAGGAACCAGGCCACCAGCAGAUAACUGCUCAGAUGAGCGUCCAGAGACUCGAGCCUCUGGCAUUCUCAGGUUCAAGGUUGGAAAACGCAUUUAGACGAGAACCACGCAGUCAGCAGUAUUCUGCGCCAUUAACUUGCUCGUACUUAAAAUGCCUGUCUAAAUGAGAGCGAAAGGUACCAGAUUAGAAGGAACAGUUUACUGGUGACUGUGAUUGGCAUUUGCCGUGUACUGGGUCAUACUUUGUGCUCUCAAACAGCAUUUAAGAAUCCUAGAUCAGAAGUAUUUUCAUUUACUCUGUGAAAACUACAGAAAAUCAAUAAAAAAAUAACAUGGAAAAUGUACAAUUCUGCAAAAAAAAUGUAACCCUGACAAAAAUCUCAUCCGGUUAAUUUUUUAAAACUUAAUAAAUUUUUUUAAAAAAAAUACAAAUUUGAUGCUUGUUUUCAAAAAUUACUUCAUCCAUGUACUGUCCAGCUCAUAAAAACAAACCUUCUUCCAGCAAAAUGGGACACUUUGACCUUGUUUACUGCAGUGUUUUGAAACCGCUGCCUUGUAACUCCUGACAUCACUGGAUGUGUAUUAGCACCUUUACUGCUGUUGGCUGCACACGCCGCUACCCGGACGGUCUUCAGUCGCCCCGGCUGAACAAAUCCUCCACAGAACAGUAAGGAUAUCAGUGCGAGCAUUAAACCCACAGAACUCACGUGAUGCCUUUUCUAAGUGCCACACCGCUCUGAUCACUUUUACAAGAAAACAAAAGCAUCAAACAUCUGAUACUUUUUUAAUUCCCAGCCUCCAGACCUAGUACAGACCGUUCUUUCUUCUGACCCUGUCCCUGCCCAAGAGAAGGGCCUCCUUUCUCACCCAUCGCCAUAUUGGCAAGAAUUCCUGCCACAGAGCUUUACUAAUAGAAGAUUCCGACCUACUUUCUCCUAAUAAAAACUUCCCACGAUCUUUCCUAGAAGAUAAUUUAUAUUAGUACAUAUUAGAGUUUCAAAGAGUACUGCAUUUUUAAAUUUUGAUAAAGUCAGGUUUAUCCAUUUUUUUCUUUUGUGGAACCUGCUUUUGGUGUUGCAGCUGAGUGUCGCAUUUUUAAAGAAAUAAUAUUUUCUUGUAAGUCUGACACAUUUCCCUUCUGUGUUCCUCAAUUCUUUUUCUGGAUAGAGCAGAGUCGAAGCAAAGGAUAGCCGUAACUUCCGGACGCAAGUCACAAUUAAAUUUCGGGGAACAUCUCCCAUAACCCCCCCCCUCUUUAAAUAAAACUAAAUUCUGGUUCUACAAUGGUAGGGCAAUUUUACAGACAAGUAAUUAAAAACCCAGUUUAACCUACAUGAAAUCAAUUUAUAAUCUUCUUGUUCCUUUCCUGAAACAACUGACGGAACAAGUCCUUGAACUACAGCCGCCAAGAAAUAAAGAACAUGAAAUACACAUUUGAGCAAUUAUGGCCCCUGUUUGUCAGAGAGGAGUAAAAAGAAAAACAUCCAGAAUUAAUAAAAUUAAUUAACUCUAGCUAAAGAACUGCUAAAAAGACCCUUCAAAUAUCAUGCUGUUACUAUGACAACUUCAAAAUUGCUUUGAGGAAAAGUGAGGGAGUUUAAGAUCCAUGAGAAAGCAAGUGUCAUCCAGCCUGCUAGAAAUUACUUUCAUUUAUACCAGGCAGCAGAAAGCCUAAACGGCCAUUUACAAUUCUGAAGUUUCAAAUCGUUACCUUUGGAGAGAUGCUGUAUUCUUCAUUCACCUCAUGAAAAGAAUCAUAAGUAAAUGAACAGCUCUCUCAGCCAUCGGAACCAUUUUGAUUUCGGUCCUGCAACUCUACCACUCCCACGGCCUAUCUAGUUGGUACAUUAUUUUUAUAAUGAAAGCAAAGUCUGAUUCAAUUUGAAAGGGAAGGGACAAAAAAAAUCCCUAACGGUCUCUCGUUUGCAAACACAAACAGGCAAGCACACACUCACUCUUAUUUUUCAGGCAUCAAUAAUGAAACAGAAAAAGAAGACAGCAUUUUUCCUUUAAAAUUCCUGCUCUUAGGUAUUUAGACUGAUUUACAUUUUACGUAAUCUUGAUGGCUCAAUCAGGAAGUGAAAAUUUUAAGUGCGUGUGCUAUGGACGGGAGGAGUCAUGUGACCCAAAGGAAAGAAAAUUAUGCAGUAGGCUAGCCAACUAAGAAAAAUAAACUUAACAGGGGUUUAAAGAUACUGUCUUUGUGAUUCACCGAGCCAUGAAUAUGUUAUGGCUUUUGAGAAAUAAAAAUUCGUUUGGAAGCCUUGAAAAUAAGCCCUCAGGACGUUUUAAAAAAUAUUAUGAGAUCAAAGCGAUGCACAGCAAGAAAUGAAAGUUUAAUUAAUAAAGGAACUGUUUCUCCGAGAUCAUAUCCAUUCAAGGUUUAAAGGCUAUUUUUCAAAGCUAUUUGAAGAUCAGGCAAUACAUAAUUGUAAUCAAUAAAACAUCGGUUGCAGCUAUGUAUAAAUACUUAUACUUUAAUAUAUAGUGCUGUCUGUUCCUGGAGCAUCAAGAAGAACACUGUUUAGAUUUACCCAGACUCUACAUAAGUUCUACAGAUUUCAAGUGGUCAUUGUAUUUUACUACAGCAAAUAGAUUCUCAAGAGGAAAAUGUCAAUAUCAUAGGAAUUUUCAUCUGAGGUAUCUAAGCUUAUAAUAGGGUCCUCAUUAAAUAGUAUCUGAAUUAUCCUUGCGUGUUAUAUUAGUCGUGCCACAGAUAUCAGACCAUGUUCACUCACUCUGGAAAUCAAAAAGUAGGAGAUGAGGGGCUGGCCCUGUGGCUGAGUGGUUAAGUUUGUGCGCUCUGCUUCAACAGCCCAGGGUUUCGUGGGUUUGGAUCCUGGGCGUGGACCUAGCACUGCUCAUCAGGCCAUGCUGAGGUGGGGUCCCACAUAGCAGAGCCAGAGGCACUCAGAACUAGAAUAUACAACUGUGUUCUGGGGGGCUUUGGCGGGAAGGAAAAAAGAGGAAGCUUGGUGGCAGAUAUUAACUCAGGGCCAAUUUUUAGAAAAAAAAAAAGUCGGAGAUGAAUGUUAAAAAGACUUUAAUAAGUAUAAUGGAUUGACUGAUAAGAUGUCUUCAUUAUAUAAAAACUACUUAAAAAACAUUCUCUGUGCUACUUUUCUAAAAUAGAGUAUGUUAAUAAAACAUUUGAAAUUCAAAAGGUUUGGCCUGUGGGUGUUUUAUUUCUAAAUGCAAUUUCUGUAUUGAUAUGUCAAUAAAUAAUAAUUUAUUAAUACUAAUAAUAAACAAUUAAUAUGACUGAGAGCAGGUAUUUGUAUCUCACGGGUAAUACUUUUAUCCCUUUGAUGCUUCACGUUUUUCAAAAUGAUUUUCAUAUUUUUAUUUCAGCCUUUUGACAGGACAGGAAUAAGUUCGGGGUAUUUCUUGAUUACUAACAUCUUUCUUUAAUUCUUAAACAUGAGAGGUAGCUGGGCAGAAGGAGAAACUAUGGGGAAAAACAGAAGUCUUUCUGAAGGGAAGCUUGAGGUAGACUAAGAACAGUUAGGAAAGGCAAGAAGCAGAAAUUCUCCAAGGUCGAGUAUUAAAGGACACUGUGAUCAUCUUACUAAACUUGGGAUCAUACUGGUUGACUGAAUUAAAGAAGGAUGAACUAGUUACCAAGAAAUAUCUGCCAACAGAUUCACAGCACAACCGAGUUCUGCCGCUGGCCUAGACCAUAAUUUACUGAGAAUAAAUCUCAAAAGAGUAUCCAUCUCAACUCCCUAAUUCUAUAAAUUAGGAAAUUACAGAAGUUGAGACUUUGCCGUGUUACACAGAUUAGCUGACUGACAGCUGAAACCGGACUCAACAUUGCUGACUUUCCCAGGCUGGGGCAGGCGUACAUCUAUAACCUGAGUGCAAGUAAGUCUCCACUCAGCCAAUCCUUGGUUGCUUAUCUUAGCUGUGGACAAGCAAAUAAGGUCAAGACUCGGAGAGGCUCACUCUGGACCAUCUAGUCCCUAACUCAGAGGCCCUCUGACCCUCAUGGCUGCUGUCUCUGUGCCCCAGCAGCCUGUGCUGAGCAUCACACUUUCUGAGCUGGGAAGAGAGGGGGCAAGUUGGAGGCUGAGGGGUGAAGCUUCUGAGCUGGUACCAGUCCGCCUUCUCGGCUCCUCCCUUCCACAGGUAUAUCACAGUCUCCUCAAUUUUUCCAGUUGGAAAAUCGAGGCACUAAAAUAAGAAAAAUCAUGUGUUUUGGCUUGCAUCACAGCUUUACUGGGAUUUUGGACAAACAUGGGAACAAGAUAAUAUUCUAGAAAAAAUAAAAUCAGCUCCUACCUUACAAUCAUCACCAAAACUAAGUCUAUGGAGCUUAAAGAGUUAAAUGGAAAAGGGAAAAAAGAAAACAAUUAGAAGAAAAUAUUUCUGAAUUUGAGAUAAGAAAACAACUCUUACCUUUAUAAAAGCAAUGAAAAAAGUAACAAAAGGCAAGGUGCUCCAUAUCCAUCUGACUACAUUAAAACACAAGACCCCUGUGUGUCCCAAAGCAACAGACAAAGCUGAAAGAUAAACAAAAGACAAAAUGCUUGCAACAGGAUAAUACAGUUUAUAUUAUCUAUAAAUGUAAAAGAAAAAAAAUAUUAACAGACUAUUCACCUCAAAAUAUAAAAGGUCAAUUAACAAGAAAGUCUUGAAUUUCACUAGCAAACAUCAAGAUUUUUUUCACCAAUAAAAUUCACAAGGAUGGACAACAAAGAGAGUAAAGCCAGUGAAGUGAGGUGAGACAAUCAUUUCAGGAAAUCAGCAGUAGCUUUUUAUAAGCCUUAAAACUGUUCUGACUCAUAUCAUGUCUAUAAAUACCUCCUCAAGAAACAAUCACAGAUACUCAGGAAGAUAACUGUAUGAGGAUAACACUUACAAUAAUAAAAUUGGGAACAACUUAAAUAUCCAAAAGUGAAGGGGAGCAUGUGACUACAUAAACUAUAGUUAAUUCACAUGCUUCGAUAAUGGUUUUGGAGAAUACUUAAUGAUAUUGGAAAUCACAAAAUAUAAUGUUAGGUAGAAACGCUGGAUAUAAAAUUGCAUAUAAAUAUGAUAUCAAUGUUGCUAGGUGAGAAAGGAAGUUAGCAAGGAGAGAGGGAAGGAGGGACUGACAAAUGGUAGGGGUACAGAAGCCAAUCUCAGAAAGAGACUGGAAAAGAAUACAUUUAUAAAGCUUAAGGGGCAGACAGAGAAUUUAGAUUUUUCGGUACUUCUCUCCAAUAUUGAGAUAUUUGACAUUUUCUAUAAGAAACAUUAUUUUGAUAAUUGGAAAAAAUGUUAUUUAAGCUAAUGAACACUCUAUAAAUAUUUCUCAGUCAUAUAAACUAAUUAAAACAUUUACAAAGACUUUUUAAACAAGAGAAUGCUUAUACUUUACUAUUAAGUACAAAAAAGAAGUGCAAAACAAUAUGAUCUUAAACAUGUAAAAAAUUCACAUGAAAAAGUCCAGAAGAGGGGCUGGCCCUGUGGCCAAGUGGUUAAGUUCACGCGCUCUGUUUCAGUGGCCCCGGGUUUCACCAGUUUGGAUCCUGGGCGUGGACAUGGCAUCACUCAUCAGGCCAUGCUGAGGUGACACCCCACAUAGCGCAACCAGAGGGACCUACAACUAGAAUAUACAGCUAUGUACUGGGGGCUUUGGACAGAAGAAGAAGAAAAAGAAAAAAAAAAAGAAGAUUGGCAACAGAUGUUAGUUCAGGUGCCAAUCUCUAAAAAUAUAAAAUAAAAUAAAUUACGAAAAAAAGACCAGAAGACUAUACAUCAAGAUGUUAACAGUGGUUGCCUUUAGGUAGUGCUAUUGUGUGUCAUAUUUUUUUCUAUAUCUUACAAGUUUUCAAUGAUUGUCAUAUAUUGUUUUCAUGAGAAUAAAUGCAUAAAUAUCAAUAUCGUAAUUAUAGGACUGCUACAUUAAGAAGAUGGUACUAUUAACAGUUAAAUUUCAAAAUACAGAAGGUCAAUAGCCACAAAAAUAUGCCCUAUUACUAAGAGAUUUUUUUUUUUUUAAUUUAGGAACCACUGGUAUGCCUUCAGAAAACAGUAGAAGUUAAUGGGUGUGUAGGAGGUGAGAACAAAUCCUAUUUCUUAGUUGUCAAACUGUUUUCUCCAUGUGGCAGGUCUGUGAGGAUCAUACUGAAGCAUGAGGAUCUUGACCGCAGGACAUUAUUAGGAAAAUGGCAAAGAAGGUCAAUGGGGGAGAGGUAGUGAAUGGCCAAAAGAGGAAGACAGGAGUCCAUGAAAACAACAGAAGCAUCAAGAGAGAAGGUUCAAGAAAUCAUGAGAUCCGAAAUAUUUGCAAGAAGGGUCUUAAAGAGAUAUUUGUAUACCUAUAUUCAUAGCAGC
Long non-coding RNA from Equus asinus (donkey), 61814 nucleotides. The record is from Ensembl. NCBI's taxonomy places the organism in Eukaryota, Metazoa, Chordata, Mammalia, Perissodactyla, Equidae.